RNAcentral lists this long non-coding RNA (52167 nucleotides) under Triticum aestivum (bread wheat). RNAcentral's name for it is "long non-coding RNA (TAES_LNC013601)". The stretch from base 8719 to 8804 matches the Rfam family "MIR1120/MIR1122 microRNA precursor family". The record is from RNAcentral. Lineage: Eukaryota; Viridiplantae; Streptophyta; Magnoliopsida; Poales; Poaceae.
UUUUUUUUUGGUUAAACAUCAAUGAAUCUUUUAAAUUCAUGCAAAAUUUUGUGAUGAAAUGACAUUUGUGGAAGCCUAUGCAACAAAAACAAAAUUGGUGCUCCAAAACGCUUUCAACAAAAGUCUUUUCGGAACAUCAAUUUUGCUUAUUGGCACAGACCUUCAUGGAUGGCAUUUCAUCGUGGAAAUUUGCAUGUAGUUGAAACAUUCAUCUAUGGUUAUCAAAAAAAAUAUUUUGUCCUUUUUGUAAUUUUUUAUUUUACUGUUCAUCGGAAAGCAUAUGAAGUCGGGUUCAAAAGCUCCAUGUCCUGGAAUACAUCAAAUAUCAAGUGAACUACCCUCUAAGGACAUCUCUAACACUGACCAACAAAUCUGCUCCUGCAUCUGUCCACGGAUAGGGGGAACCAGUCCGCAGACAUGGAUGCGGGAGCCGGCUAUUCAACGACAUCCGCAUACAUUUCAAACGGCCUUUCAACUAACCAGGCGAAAUUCAUGCAAACCGACCAGAAUUCAUCACAGUUUGGAUAGAAAAUAACAUAGAUCAUCCACACGUAGCAUGCAAAUAAGUCUAGUACAACAAUAGUUCAAAUUCAGCGAGAUUAACCAGAUGUUUAACAAGUUUUUUCGUGAACGGAUCAUGUUGUCCAACACAUACUGCCCCUUCAGCUUCAUCCAAUUGUGUAUGUACCUAAAUGACCGUCCCUCUUUUAUGUGAUACAUCACAGCAACACAUAUGGACUACACAAUGUGUAGAGAAACAUCGAGUGAAAGGAAGAUUCAAUCGUCAAGUUGAGCAAGAAAAAGCAAACAUUACGAUCUCCUUCAGUGUCGCGCACAAUGGUCAUCUUGCCUUCAAUUGAGCAGUCGUGUCACAAAACUUGGUGACGGUGGUCUAGAUGGCGUACAAUCGAUAUGAUAACGACCUCAUAUUGCGUUGUUGGAUGAUGUGUAUGUCGUAGGGCGCAAUGCCUGUGUGGCGGCCGGAGAGGUAUAACAGCAGCAUCAGAGCAGAAGGGCGCGGAUGCAAAGCAAGGGGGAGAAGGGGCGAAUUGGAAUAAAAUAAGACCGGGAGGGGGAUUUAGAACACGUCUGGACAACGCAAUCCGAACGUAUGCGGGCUGUUUGAGGGUCGGUGUCGGAGGGGCCCUAAGGGUGCAACAACUUUAACUAAGCUAUGAGCCUCUCCAAUUGACUCCAUGUUCUCAUCAUCUCAUGUACCAUUGUAGUUUCACUAAAAAUCCUAGAGCAACAAUCAAUCUCCCAAAAAACAUUGAGUAAGAACAUAGCGCCUUUUUAUGUACAUUGGUGAUCAUCUCCAAGCAGUCUAAUGCCACUUCCACAGCCCCAACGUGCAAGUUUUGAGCAUUGGCUAAACCGGGGAAGACUUGUAUAGGAUCAGCACUUAGGUGAGAUCAAUGAUAUUAAAUUUUUUGAAGAUACAAAACAUGUCUAAAAAUUCUGAAUUUUUUUGGAGACACACAUUCAUGUGUGAUGUACAAGCACAAAAAGUUUCAGCUCCUAAUUCGAACUACACUUAGAGGAUAAAAAAGACAAAAUCAGAUGUGAAUAGUGUCAAGUACUAUGCACCCCAAAGCUGGCACUAUUCAUACUCGGAUUUGUCGUUUUCGAAUCUCUAACUGUAGUUUGAGUUUUUUGAGCUGAUUUUUUUUAAGUUGUAGACAUACCCCGCUGGUAUGUUGCACUUUUUUUCAGAAUUUUUUGCAUUGCCUAAAUAUGAAAUGUUUGGUUUGAUCUUACGAUUCACAUCUAAAGGGCUGAUCCUAUACUAGUCUUCCCCUGGCUAAACCUUCAUUGCAUGCAGUAGCUUCUAGACUAGCUGGAUCCGUCGGGCCUUAAAUCACUACAACCGUGCCCCCAGAUAAUUCCCAUGUUCGUCGCGACAUACUGUUCGGCUGCACCAUGUUUGCCAACUCUGGAUAAUCCCUCCAUCAACCUUAACUUACAGAGCCCCGGGCCAGGUUCAAUCCACUUCAUCUCAGUAACUAUUGGUCUCGGCUCGCUAGCUAGGCCGGCCCUUUACUGUAGUAGUGACGCGAGUGUUUUCUUUUUGUGUGAUUUUUAUCUCUUUUUUCACUAUUUGUGGUGGUUUUAUUUGUUUCAUUCUCGGCUUUCACUAUUUUUUUGUUUUUAUUCUGUAGCGAUCAGACCUCAAAAGGCCUCUGCUGCUGUGCAUCAGUGUCAUCCCUGGAUCAGUAAUGCUGACACGCACAGUACAAAUGGAGGAUUUAUAAUAGAGUAGCAAUCACACACUUAUUACAUCGAAUAUCUCCGAAGAGAUUAAGUAUGAAAACAUGGCUUAAGGCCAUCUAAUAACGAUAACAGCGGAAGACUUGGAAGAUAAGUGAGUCCAUCAACUCCAGCGGCAUCACUGAGUAUAAGACCACGACCUAAGGCACCUUACUCGUCGUCUGAAAAGUCUGCAACAUGAAACGUUGCAGCCCGAAAACGGGUCAGCACAUAGAAUAUGCUGGCAAUGUAACACAUAGAGAGCAAUGAACAAUAAUAAUGCUAGGCUAUAUGCAUAUUGUUGGAAAUCGUAGCAUAAUUUUAAAAUUUUCCUACGUUCACCCAGAUGCAUCUAUGGAGUAUACUAGCAACGAGGGGAAGGGAGUGCAUCUACAUACCCUUGUAGAUCGCGAGCGGAAGCGUUCCAAUGAACGUGGAUGACGGAGUCGUACUCGCCGUGAUCCAAAUCACCGAUGACCGAGUGCCGAACGGACGGCACCUCCGCGUUCAACACACGUACGGUGCAGCGACGUCUCCUCCUUCUUGAUCUAGCAAGGGGGAAGGAGGGGUUGAUGGAGAUCCAGCAGCACGACGGCGUGGUGGUGGAUGUAGCGGGUCUCCGCAGGGCUACGCCGAGCUUCUGCGAGAGAGAGAGGUGUUGCAGGGGAGGAGGGAGGCGCCCAAGGCUGUUGUGUGCUGCCCUCCCUCCCCCCUUUAUAUAGACCCUCUGGGGGGGGCGCCGGCCCCAAGAGAUGAGAUCUCAAGGGGCGGCGGCGGCCACAAGGGGGGAAGGGGUUGCCUUGCCCCCCAAGGCAAGGGGGAACUCCCCCUAGGGUUCCCAACCCUAGGCGCAUGGGGGGAGGCCCAAGGGGGGCGCCCCAGCCCACUAGGGGCUGGUUCCCUUCCACUUUCAGCCCACGGGGCCCUCCGGGACAGGUGGCCCCACCCGGUGGACCCCGGGACCCUUCCGGUGGUCCCGGUACAAUACCGAUAACCCCCGAAACUUUCCCGGUGGCCGAAACUGGACUUCUUAUAUAUAAUUCUUCACCUCCGGACCAUUCCGGAACCUCUCGUGAUGUCCGGGAUCUCAUCCGGGACUCCGAACAACUUUCGGGUUUCCGCAUACAUAUAUCUCUACAACCCUAGCGUCACCGGACCUUAAGUGUGUAGACCCUACGGGUUCGGGAGACAUGCAGACAUGACCGAGACGCCUCUCCGUUCAAUAACCAACAGCGGGAUCUGGAUACCCAUGUUGGCUCCCACAUGUUCCACGAUGAUCUCAUCGGAUGAACCACGGUGUCGAGGAUUCAAUCAAUCCCGUAUACAAUUCCCUUUGUCAAUCGGUAUGUUACUUGCCCGAGAUUCGAUCGUCGGUAUCCCAAUACCUUGUUCAAUCUCGUUACCGGCAAGUCUCUUUACUCGUACCGCAAUGCAUGAUCCCGUGACUAACGCCUUAGUCACAUUGAGCUCAUUAUGAUGAUGCAUUACCGAGUGGGCCCAGAGAUACCUCUCCGUCACACGGAGUGACAAAUCCCAGUCUCGAUCCGUGCCAACCCAACAGACACUUUCGGAGAUACCCGUAGUGCACCUUUAUAGUCACCCAGUUACGUUGUGACGUUUGGCACACCCAAAGCACUCCUACGGUAUCCGGGAGUUGCACGAUCUCAUGGUCUAAAGAAAAGAUACUUGACAUUGGAAAAGCUCUAGCAAACGAAACUACACGAUCUUUUAUGCUAUGCUUAGGAUUGGGUCUUGUCCAUCACAUCAUUCUCCUAAUGAUGUGAUCCCGUUAUCAAUGACAUCCAAUGUCCAUAGUCAGGAAACCAUGACUAUCUGUUGAUCAACGAGCUAGUCAACUAGAGGCUUACUAGGGACACUUUGUGGUCUAUGUAUUCACACAUGUAUUACGAUUUCCGGACAAUACAAUUAUAGCAUGAAUAAUAGACUAUUAUCAUGAACAAAUAAAUAUAAUAAUAACCAUUUAUUAUUGCCUCUAGGGCAUAUUUCCAACACAUAUAUGGCUGGUGGAAAGGCUCUAUGGUUACUGUUUUGCGAAAAGCCAAUUUUAUCCUACUGCAAAGGAAUAAAUUUUAUUUAACUAUCAUGGUGGUUGAAACAUUGAGAAGGUACCUCCAACUCAAUCCCAAUUAAGUAACAUCAUUAACCCAACAAAAUUAAUUAUAAGUAUCACAGUGAUGAGAUUCAAAUGAUAAUCCAGAUACUAGAUACUCAAGUUGUCCAUAACCGGGGACACGACUAAUCAUGAUCAGUUUGUACACUCUGCAGAGGUUUGUACACUUUUCCCCACAAGACUCGAUCGCCUCUGUUUUAUUUCUCGCACUGCAUGAUGUUUGAGAAACGGAUGACCGAGACACAGUCUUUCAGAAACAGUCACUCUUUACUCUGGAUGGACCGGUACACCUACUUUCCCCUACAUCUGCUAGUCCACCUCUUCAAGAGAUCCUGUAACCUACUCAGCUAUGCUAGAGCCCAUAAUAGCUUGUGGCUGCACACGGAAGUUUCUAGCAUGAAUAAUCUUAUGAUCCCUUUGAACCUGGGUGGCGGACCUUAUACAUACAGACAACACUGGGUUCUCCAGGUGCCUCAAUCCACCCAGAUGUGAGUUUUAGUUGCCACCUUAAGUUGAACCAUUAUUAAACAUCUCACAUAUGUCAUGAAUAUCACUCAAACCAAUCCACGUCUACGAGCAUAGCAUGGCAAUAUAAUAGCAACGUAGAAGUAACUCCCAAGGGUUUGAUAAAGUAAAACAGGUAAUAGGUACUACCUCAACUACUUCCCAGAUACCCACAAGUUUAAUUUGAUCCUAAUCAUGCAAUGUGUUUGGGGAAAAAGAUCUAAUGCAAUAAAACUGGGUAUGAACGGAAUAUGAUCAAAGUGUUACUUGCCUUGCUGAUGAUCCGCGAAAGCUAACGAGUCGAAGUAACAAGCGGCACACUCCGGGUACUCUAUCGCAAACAAACAAGCAUACAAUGAAAGAUCCAACCAGAAAUUUCAACUUAAGAACUCCGGUUUGCAAAAAGAAUCAACUCGAAAGAAGCAACGAAAAUCGAACGGCGAAAGAAAGAAACUUCGUUUGCUAAUCUGGAUCUAGGUCAAAUUUUACUGUAGCAAAAACUUUUUUGAGUAGAUUAAACGGAAAGAGAAUUUCGAGACGAAACUCUGGGCGCUUGAAUCGCCUGAUUCCGAUAAACGAGCGAGAAGUUAAACAGAUUCGAAGAUUUGAUCAGAAAUCGAAUCUGAGAAAAUCCGACGAAAAAGAAAAACGGACGAACGGUUAAAUAACGGAUGUUCGUUAACAGAGAAAAACCGACGAACGCGUUCGUUAAAACGAACGGUUCGGUGAACGCUCGCGAAAUAAGAAAACCGAAAAAAAACCGAUCUAGGUUUUUUUUUAAACGAAGGGGUUUUUUUACAGAAAACCGGUCAACGACGAAACGGGGCAGCGGCAGUACCUCGUCGGGGCUCCGGCGGGGCGGGNNNNNNNNNNNNNNNNNNNNNNNNNNNNNNNNNNNNNNNNNNNNNNNNNNNNNNNNNNNNNNNNNNNNNNNNNNNNNNNNNNNNNNNNNNNNNNNNNNNNNNNNNNNNNNNNNNNNNNNNNNNNNNNNNNNNNNNNNNNNNNNNNNNNNNNNNNNNNNNNNNNNNNNNNNNNNNNNNNNNNNNNNNNNNNNNNNNNNNNNNNNNNNNNNNNNNNNNNNNNNNNNNNNNNNNNNNNNNNNNNNNNNNNNNNNNNNNNNNNNNNNNNNNNNNNNNNNNNNNNNNNNNNNNNNNNNNNNNNNNNNNNNNNNNNNNNNNNNNNNNNNNNNNNNNNNNNNNNNNNNNNNNNNNNNNNNNNNNNNNNNNNNNNNNNNNNNNNNNNNNNNNNNNNNNNNNNNNNNNNNNNNNNNNNNNNNNNNNNNNNNNNNNNNNNNNNNNNNNNNNNNNNNNNNNNNNNNNNNNNNNNNNNNNNNNNNNNNNNNNNNNNNNNNNNNNNNNNNNNNNNNNNNNNNNNNNNNNNNNNNNNNCUUUGGCCCAGUCGGCGCGGGCGCGUUUUUUUAAAUAAGUUCCGCGGAAAAAAUUUGCGUAGAAAAAUAAAUAAAAAUCAGAAAAAUAUGAAAUAAAUUUUCCCCGUCUAGUUAGAAAAUCUAGAAUAGGGUGAACAUUUUUAAAAUCAAAAAUAAAUAUUUUGAAAAAAUGCAAUAUUUUUAUGCAAUAAAAAUUGCAAAUAAAAUCCAAAUAAAUCCCAAAUAUUGUUUUUAACAUUUUUCCUCCAGUAUUUCAAUUGUUUUGGAGAAGUCAUAUUUUCUCCUCUCGUUUAUUUAAAAUUGAAAUAUUUUUCCGGAGAGAAAAAUAAUUAAAACCAAAAUCCUCGUCUUAUUAUUUGAUGAAAAUCAAAUAUGAAAAUUCGAGAAAAUCCCCAACUCUCUCCGAGGGUCCUUGAGUUGCUUAGGAUUUAUCGAGGAUUUGUCAAAAUGCAACAAAACAUGAUAUGCAAAAGAUGAUCUAUGUAUAACAUUCCAAAUUGAAAAUUUGGGAUGUUACAUAUUCUCUUUUAUUUUAUUAUUUUCAACACGUUGGUCUUCUUUGUAUGCAUUAGAAACAUUUUUGUACACAUUUUACAUUUUAAAUACAUGAUUAACAUUUAAAAAAUAUAUGUUUGGAUGUUUACUUUUUUGUGCACAUUGAACACUUUUCAAUACACUUUUAAGAAUUUUCAAAUGCAUGAUUAAAAGUUUCUAAAUUUAUGUUUCGUCAUCGUUGAGUGCAUAUAUACAGUUUACUUGAUAUGAUGAGGUCUGGUGUUGCUCAUCAUGAUCAUAUCGGCUUGAUGCUAUAUUUUUUAGUUAAUAAAAGUAUACUUGUCAUACUGGAAUAUUUAUAUCGCGUUGCAACGCACGGGCGCACGGGCAUUGACCUAUAAGUAAAAAAAAAUGUUGUGGGCUCUUUCUGUCUCGGAUGCAAGCUCAUCUCACAGCUAAAACAAUUUCAACCCCAAACAGCAGCUUCAGCAAAACCGCUAUCACAUAAUCUAAAAAAAAAAGAAGCAAAACCGCUAUCACAGAUCAUACAUCUAGAACCACAGAUUUUUAGCGCGGAACAAAGAUUGUAACAAAGCAACGAGCUAAUAUUGUGUAGAGAAAAUAUGAAGAAAGUAGUGACAUCAACAAACACAUUAGGCUAUUGAAGUAGGUUACAUGCAUCUAGCCAGCCCAAAACAAAAACACAAAUGUUUGAAUGUGCUGAUCCGCCCCCACGGUAUGCACGUCAUACAGCACAUGCUCACCAGAUAACUCACAUAGCAUACGGAGUAUUAUUACGAAAUCCAUCCCGGUACUGGGGCUAGGCAUAAUCCGGCACGAGAAAACCGCGUGAAAUCCGCGGCACCACAAAUGCGAUGCGACGUCUUAACAAGCUAGAAGUCGAAUGGGGAUGUUUACCCACCAUGUGUUACUUCUUCUGCUGCUUCUUCCCCGGCUUCAGCUUUAUGACCUCGUCGAUGUACAGUAUGCCCUUCCCCUUGUACACUUCUGGAGGCUUACUGCAUCGGACAGCUCCAGCGAAAUGGUGCACUCUAUGCUUGUCAAUGCCAGUACAGCAUAUUAUGUUGGGCUUGAAGCAGAAGACGCGGACGGCAGGUGGAGCCGUGAACUGCACCUCAUGGCUGUAGCCUAGUUUCAAAAACAACUCGCGGCCUUCACGCUCUGUCCUGGCUUUGAAGCCAACUCCAACAAGCUUCAGGAACCGAAAGAACUUGGCUUCCAUUGCGAGAUGAGAAGUCCGUCCGAGGAUGAAAUAUUUGUUUCCGACUUUACUUUUGACAAAACAAGGACAAAAGGUUCAUCAGAAAAUUGAGCACUAAUGUAAUGAAACAGGGGAGUACCAUCAUGCUGCAAGUAUUGAGAAUUCGAUAUAUACACAAGACCAUAGUUAAAUCGACUAUUUUCAGAGCAUUGCAAGAGAUUCGGUACAAUAUACACGAGUAUAUCCCGUAAUUUCAUCUCACAAAGAAUGAAAUGUAUGCUUCAAACUCUUACUGAAAUAAAUAUAGAAUGAAAACAGCAACUCUGAAUUCUGAAGUCGUACUCAUUUCCUCAACUAUCAAAGAUGGGAGCAACCACCAAAUAGAGUUCAUAACUGCCUAAUUAUAUUAUCUCUAACCAAAGGAGGAUAGAAGGUUCAUCAGAAAAUUGAGCGCUUACGUAAAAAAUAACGAUGAUCAUGCUGCAAGUACCGAGAAUUUGGUAUAUAAAUACGAGACCAUGCUUAAAUCGAUUAUUUUCAGAACAUCGCAAUAUAUUUGAUACAAUAUAUAGGGGUCUAUCUUGUAACGUCAUCUCAUAAAGGAUGAAAUGAAAUGAUUCAACAACUCUCAAUGAAAUAACUAAAGAAUGGGAACAGUAACUCUGAACUCUAUCAGUUCAUUCCUUUAUCUCAUCUUACAGAGGAUGAACCAAUUCAACAACUCUUACUGAAAUACUCCCUCCGUCCCAUAAUAUAAGAGCGUUUUUGACACUAGUGUAGUGUCAAAACACUCUUAUAUUAUGGGACGGAGGGAGUAACUAUGAAGGAAUGAAAGAACCAACUCUCAACUUUGAAGAACUACUUGAUUCCUCAACUAACAGAGAUGAGGGAAGGCACCAAUCAGUGUUCACGACGGCAUGAUUAUCUUAUCUCAAAACAGGGAAUAUAUAUACCAUUCCAGGCUAGAUACCAAGUGGCAAGCUAAAAUGCAUUGAUAUGGAUACGUAAAUUCACCAUUUUGGAAAAGCACCAAUGCGGAGAUAUGUUAUAUUUUUAAUUCACGAGAAAAAUGUAUAGAAGCUAGGAACAUAAGAUUACCUUCUUGUUUGCUCUACUGGAUGCCGAAGCAGCUCCAAGCCUCUGCAAUUGACAGUGUUGAUGCCCUGUUUGAACUCCAAGUUCCGAAGGGAUAGAGUUAGACUUUUAGUUACUGUAAAAUGAAUAUGGAGCAGCAAAUCAAAUCAUUAGUUAGCUGUACAUCCAUCAUGGCAUAACACGAAAGGUGGAACCUGAAGAUCAAUCAGCUAACAUGCAAAAGGAGAAACAAUCACUUUAAACGGUAAUAUUUUAGGUCUGGCUGUUAAAAUCAACAAAACAGAGUAACAGUACCACUAUAUAUAUUCCCAAUCAUAAACAAGAAUUGGAACAUCUACCAUGCCAACAAUACCACUAGUACUUAUGUGUUCACCAAUUUCCGCCAGUAUAACCAAGACAAAAGCUCCUGCUCUCUCAAAUUGCAGCUAAGCAUUGAUUUCAGGUCAAGACAGUGCAGCUAAAACAACUAUAUAUAUUUCUUUUCAUAUAUCGUCAGUCAUUGCAUGUUUCACUGCCAACAUGUUUAAACUAAAAUAUUUGUUCAUCUGAAAGAGAUUCAAUCUACAAUUUGUACCCAUUAGCCCCUACAAGCAUUAUCACAAACACCUGUCAAGCAAAAUCCUUUCACAUGUAAACUUGAACAUGCACUGGGAAUAAUUAUGCAGCAAGUACUCAUCAAGAAAUAAUUAUCAUUCUAUUCUCAGUUUCACACAGUAUCAAAUCUACAGAGAGUACUCAUCUAAUACAAAAAUCAGGGAAAAAAUGGAACAAAUAGAGGAUGCAAGAGGAAGGAGGGAGGGGGGGUGAGGGAAGAGGGGGGAAGGUGGGAAGGAAGGAGGAGGAAGGACGAAGGAAUGGUGGCUACCUGCCUAUGGAAUGGUCGCCGGCGUAGAUCCGGGCGGCGGCGUUGCUGAGCGGGAGCGGCUGCUCUAGAGAGGGAGGCGCUGCUCGUAAGACCCCGCUGUCCGCGCUCGGGAAGGACUCUGCUCGUUCGCUCGCUUGGGAGGCGCUCUCUUCGUUCGCUCGCUUGGGAACACAAGGACUUUUUUUUUUGGCGGGGUCACAAGGACUUUUUUGAGACAAAGAAAAUGGACCGAGUUCAAGGCCCAGUUUUCAUUAGAUCGUAUUCACAUCACGAUUUGUCGCCACUCAAAAAAAAAAAACAUCACGAUUUGUCUUUUUUAAUAUGCGUUUUGAAUUUGGGUAUAAAUUUUUAUUUCGAUGUAGACAUGUAUUGUAUUUUCAUCCUCAUAAUGUACUAUUUCUCCGCCUGAAAAAGCUUGUCCCUUAAAUGGAUGCAUCUAGCACUAAUGGGACAAGUUUUUUCGGACGGAGGGAGUAGAAUACAUGAUUGUAGUUUCUAACUGGGUAGACAUACNNNNNNNNNNNNNNNNNNNNNNNNNNNNNNNNNNNNNNNNNNNNNNNNNNNNNNNNNNNNNNNNNNNNNNNNNNNNNNNNNNNNNNNNNNNNNNNNNNNNNNNNNNNNNNNNNNNNNNNNNNNNNNNNNNNNNNNNNNNNNNNNNNNNNNNNNNNNNNNNNNNNNNNNNNNNNNNNNNNNNNNNNNNNNNNNNNNNNNNNNNNNNNNNNNNNNNNNNNNNNNNNNNNNNNNNNNNNNNNNNNNNNNNNNNNNNNNNNNNNNNNNNNNNCGUAUUUUGAUCUUUCAGUAUCCGUUUUGUCGGUUUCCAUUUAGUUUGUUCUUUCCAUUUUAUUUUUAAAAAACGUAAACAUUUUAUAAUGUUUGGAACUUUUUUGAAAUUUAAAAACUAGUUAAUUUUCUGAUUUGUUUUGGUUUCAUAAAUAUUUUCUAAAAUUCUGAACAUUUUUCAAAUACGGCACAUUUUAUGAAUUCACAAUUUUUUUCAAAAUUUGUGAACCUUUUUGAAAUUAUGAGUAUCUUUUGAAAAAUAUGUAUCCUUUUUUGUCAAUUUUCUAGUUCUUUUUCCUGUUUUCUUUCUUAAAAUGAAGUAUAUUUUUAAAUGUGGGGAACAUAUUUUGUGUGUGCGAACAAUUUUUGAAAUUUAAAACAUUCUAAAUUUGUGAAUAUUUUCUUGUUUAGUUUUUUAAAAAUUUGUGAACGUUUUGUUCAAAUUUGUGAAAAAUUAUAAAUUCAGGACAUUUUUUAAAUUUGUGAAUUUUUUGAUAUUUAUGAAUAUUUUUGGAUUCACGAAAUGUUUUGGAACCAAAAUCCUUUUUCCAGAUUCACGAACAUUUUUUGAAUUUUCGACUCUUUUUCUUAAAAUUCUUGAACAGUUUUCAAACGUACGAACAUAUUUCAAAGUUUAUGAAAAAAUUAAAACCUCAUUUUUUUAAUUUACCUACAUUUUUUGAAUUUUGUGAUUUCUUAUGAAUUCAUGAACUUUUUUCAAAUGCACAAACAUUUUUCCAAUUCACGAACAUUUUCUUAGUAGAAAAACAGACACAAAAUUAUGCUUAAAAAAAGCCCCCCAAAAAACACGGCAAACAUUACGGAGCGCAACAUGUACAUUUGUUGCUGGGCCGUCCUACUAGUGAUGACGCUAGGGAGGAGACGCGCGUUUGUUGAGUUUCCAGAGUGCAGGUCCCCGAGGAGGAGCUCACGGGAGCUCCUAUACGGCGCUUAAGCGCCCAUUCAGUCAACUGGCGCCUGCAGCAGCGUCUUACUGGGCCGGCCCACGAGCGCGUAACGCCAGGGAACAAAAAUUCCAAGAAAAAAGUUGCAACGCAGAGAAUUCGAACUCACACCUAUGCAUUCUGAACCAGCUCGGCUAACCACUAGAGCUCCCUAGUACCUGUGGUCAUUACUACCUCGGCAGUAAUUAAGGACAAUAUUGGUUGCGCGGUUUCAAAAAAAUGAGAGUUCACACUUCACAGAUUAAGAAAAAUUUGCGAUUUUUUUUCGAAAAAGAAAAGGCUCACGUAUUCAUAGAAGUUCACAAAUAAUGAAAAAGUUCACAGAUUUGAAAAAGUUCAAGAAAAUUGAAUAAAGUUCACUAAUUUGAGAAAAAAGUUCAUGAAUUUGAAAACAAUUUCAUCAAUGUUUUAAAAGAGUUCAUCAUAUUGAAAAAAAGUUCAUAGUUUUCAAAAAAAGUUCAUCGGAUUUGAAAACAAUUUCAUCAAUGUUUAAAAAGAGGUCAUCAUAUUGAAAAAAGUUCAUAGUUUUUGAAAAAAGUUCAUCGGAUUUGAAAAAAGUUCAUCAAAUUUGGAAAAAGUUCAUCGAUUUUGAAAAAUGUUCAUGGGUUUUGAAAAAAGUUCAUCAAAUUUGAAAAUAAGUUCAUCGAUUCUGAAAAAAGUUCAUCGAAUUUGUUAAAAACCGUGCACUGAAGAAAACAAAGAAAAAAGAAAAAACGUUCCAAAAAGAAAAAAGAAAAAGAACAAAAACAUAACAAAACCGUUCUGAAUAAAUAGGAAAAAGGAAUCGUUGUAAGAAGAGAACGGUGAAGAUGCAGUAUUUGAACAAUUAACACGAUGUACUGGAGUGGUUAGUGCAUGUGGCAAACGACCAUGGCGCCGGUUUCUGGAAACAACUGUAACCGGCGCCUGCAACGCUAAAUAGGAAAUGCCGGAGCUCACACAGGUAGGGCAAGGAGAAGCCACCGUUGUCAUAAUCCCUGUGGAUACCUUGAACAACGAUUGAAGCCUCAGGUUAAUCGUACUGCAUCCAUCUCCAUGCGAACUGGGCUAGGCCCAAGGCCGAGCGCCAGCCCAACGAUGACAUUAGAAGGGGUCACUCACUGCCCAACGAUGAAAUUGGAAGGUGUCAUUGACUGGAGUUCCUAUGUCUCGGUUCAUGCGAGACGUAUGGGACUUUAGCGGGAGCUCCUAUACAGCGACCUACGCGCUGGGAAACAGGGCAGCAUGCUCACCCCUCGCUCCCAUGUGCGACCUUGGGCCAGCCCGGGUGCGGGAUGGUGCUCCCACGUUUGUUGUUUUUUCGUUUCUUUUUUAUUUUUGUUUCAUUUUCUUUUUUUGCUUUUUUAAAAUUUGGGUUUGAAAAAAAUGAUUUCAUAAAAUGUUCACUAAUGCGAAACACUGAUCAAAUUUUUUCAAAAUCUUCACAAAUUCACAAAAAAUAUUCGCAAUUGCUAAAAACUGUUUUUCUAAAUUUUGAGGAAUGAUAUUAGGUGGACAAUGGUAUCCCUAGCACACCAGGGUUCAAGUCCUGGUGUUUAGUUGGAGGAAACGUUCCCGUCGUCUACGAGGCGCCUUUGGUGUCUUCGUCAACCACAAGAUGAUAUGCCAGCUCAGUCUCUCGGAGCUGCUCAUAGUGAUAGCGUGUGCGUGUGUGUUCAUAUGAAUGAGAGUAUGCGCGUAUAUAUAAGCGCCUACAAUUGUACUGUGUACAAGGAAAAAAGACUCUCGCGUGAAGUCGAUCGCAAAAUGGGCUCGCCGAGGUGCACGGGAGCCAUACGUUCGUUCUUUGUUUUUUCCAUGUUUCUUCUUUUCUUUUUUGUUGUAUUUGAUUUUUGUUUAUCCUUCCAACUAAAUAACGGGAUUAUUAAAAACACUUUACAUAAAAAUACUUGAAAAAACUAUUAUCCCAGCCUUAGAAAAAUGUGUGUUUAUAGAAAAUAUUUCUCAUGUAUACGAAAAAUGUUUUAAAAAUUACAAUGUGAGUGUAAAAAGUUGAUAAUGCAUUAAAAAAACUCAAUCAACAUUUAGAAAAUAUUAAACAAGUGUUUAAAAAUGUUAAAAAAUUUGAACAAGCAUUUGAAAAAUGUUUAAAAGUGUAUAGAAAAAAAUAUUGACCAUGUAUUAAAAAAUUGUUAAAAUCGCAUUUAAAAUUGUUAAUAAAGCAUUGAAAAAUGUUAAACAUGCGUAGAAAAAUUGUUGACCAUGUAUUCAUAAAUUUUAAUUUUGUAUUUGAAAAAUGUUGGUUAAGUAUAUGAAAAAUGUUAAAGGUGUAUAGAAAAAAGUUGAUCAUGUAUAAAAAAUUAAUAUUGUACCUGAAAUUAAUCAAGCAAUUAGAAAAAAAAUAAAUGCAUGUAAAAUUAUAUUCACCAUGUAUUUUUAAAAUAAACUUAUAUUUGAAAGAUGUUAAAUAUAUAUUAGAAAAAUGUAGAUAUAUAUAAUAAAAUAUACAUUGUGUAUGAAAAAAGUAGAGAUUAUAAAAUAAAUUUUUUAAAUGUAAUCAGGAAUUUGAAAAUAUAAAAGAUGUAUAUAAAUAUUUUUCUGAUGUGGGUGAAAAAUGUUGAAUGUGUACUGGAAAAAAGUUAACAUGUGUUGAAGAAAAAAACACGACGAAAAUUAACAAAAAAAAGAAAAAAAAGGAAAGCCAAUAAAAACCAAUAAGAAAAACAAAAAAUCAAAAUAAAUGAAAAUCCGAAGAAAGCACUGCGAAAAGAAUGAAACUGAGAAAGAAAUAAUGGAAAAAAACAAAGGAAGAAAGAAAAGCCCGAAAACAACGGAUACCGAUAAAGAAAGACAUAAAAAUGAAGAAAAAAAAUGGAUGAAAGGCAAGAAAGAAACGGAAACGAAAAAAAAUCAGACAAAACUAUGAAUAAAACAAAUAAAACCGAUAAAAACAAAGGGAAAACAAAAAAACUAGAGAAAACUAGAUAAGAAACAAAACAAAAAGAGGAAAGAAAAACAUAUACGAACCAGCAAAGCGAUCGACCGCCCGCGAGCGAGCUUCACGUGGCAGUGAUCGGAAAAAUGAAUAUAGAUGGGCCGGCCCAAUUGCUAUGCGGAGAUAAGAAGUCCUUCAGCGAGAGAAGCUACCAUCUUUUAUAAGCGAGAAUUUCUCAAAAAAAUAAAUUAUAAGUGAGAAAUAGCUCUCGCAGUCGUUAACACAUUGGUUGCACCAAAUGCCCUCGUGCAUCAGAUACAUUCAACCCCGGUGAAAUUUUCAAAGGGAGGACAGAAUUAGUGGGAAGGUUUUGUAAGUGGUAAGUCAUGCCCGGACCCUCUACAUGCCGAGCUGGCAGGGUGCAUGGAGGGCAUAGCAUUGGCCCUCCAAUGGACGGAGUUGCCGUUCAUCGUCGAGAGCGAUAGUCUGCAGGCAGUGCAGCUGAUCAAUGCCUCAGGUCAAGACCGCUCGCAGUACGCCAUGGUGGUCUCGGAGGUGAAGCGUCUUAUGAGUGAAAGGGCGUGUCGUGUUGUUCAUAUUUCUCGAGAGCAGAAUAAUGUAAACCAUAUGUUGGCUAACUUUAGGAGAACGGAAGACCGUACUGUGGUCUGGCUCAGCUAUGACCCUUCUUGGCUCUUGAGUAAUACAAAUCCCUUUUACCCCCGCAAAAAAAAAAAAGUGGUAACAGCUCGCAGGUCUAGGUUUUCUGCCGCCGUGGUUCAUCAUAUAUGGUUUGGUCAAGGGCACUAAGGAAAAUGAAGGUGCCAAAUGCAGAGAGAUUAAAAUAUGUGAUAUUUUGACGAUGCAAUUGAUCGAGGAUCUCUCCAUUGGAGGCGGGAAAGGAAUUAACCAUGCACCGCAUGGCAUCAGUAAGCCACCGGCUACCACUGGCGCAUCACCGCCAGACGGACUCCAAGACAAGGGAGUUCCCUAUGCACUCGUGGCUGCAGAAUGCCCCUCGCCCCCGAGGACACAGACCGGUCGAGACGUGUCAGCGCGCGGGCCAACUGGAGCAGCGUCAGGCGUCCAGGCGGCGGAGGCGCCGCUAGCGUCCCGGCGACGUGCCGGGCCCGGGCCGGCGGCGCGGCGAGCGCGGCACCUGGCAGCGGCAGGAGAGCCGCGCGCACGUGAAGCAGAUGACGGUUGUCCCGAUCGAUCGAUCGCCGUGCCAAACUGCGAAACGAGGCCAGCGCUCGACGACCACUUGUUGGCGCCACGGCGCCGUGGACGGGACACCUGGACCUCGGCCCUUUUUCCUGUUCGGCGUGACGGCGUCGGUGUCGUGCCUUGCCAUGGCCCAUGGCGUUCAGCCUUGGCGUAACGCUUUGUUCUCUGGAAUCCAACAGUGCAUGCAUGCUUAUCACAUGUUCCAGAUGGCGCCACACCUUAACUUUAUAGAAGGAGAGAAAUACAGCCAUACAACUACAUCUACCUCUCGCUGCGAACAAGGAGCGUAGCACAACUCCACACCCGACACAAACAAAGACAACCACACACGACUACACAACUACGACAUACAAGAGCCUACCCAAACCGAUAGCCUCGCCGCAUCUCGACCGACACCGGUGAUCACCGAAGAACAGCAACUCCAGCUUCCUUGAUAGAGCCAGCGACGACCGAACAUGGCGUCAGAGAAGAACGAUCCGGGCAGCGAUGCACGCCGGAAGAGCGCAACAUAGGGCCUCUUAUCUCCCAGCAUGAUGCUCCCAACAGAGAAACAACGUCAGAAGAUGCCGCCAUCGUGCCAAUCCUACGAAUCAAGGCUUUCGCCCCGGAGAUGCUUGCCGAUACAAGGUAACGUGGAAAAUGGCGCUACACUCGGCGACGCCUCCAGAAAGGGGAAUGACACCCACGGGUGCACAUAUCCACGCCUCCAAGAUUUCGGCCAGCCCCGAAAGUUGUCUCGCAUCACCAACACCGCAGCCACUUGCAGUCGGAGCCACAAAACACUGCCGAGGAAGCACGCCUCAAGCCACCACCUUCAACACACUUGGAACCGCAGCAACCACCAGGCGACGCGGGGACCAGAUCCGUCGCAAUGGCCUUCACCCGCACCUAGGGACUGCCACACCGGUGGAUCUGACCCGCACCAUCAACCACACUUCGACGCCAACUUCACCGAGGCAUCACCGCCGGCACCUCACACGUAGGUGGUCGGGCGCCCGCUGCUCGCCAGGGCCCUGCCUAGCCGAGCCUCGCAGCACCGCCGCCUCCAUGGCUGCACAUGCGCUGCCGCCUCCGACGACUUCAGUGCACCACCCACAUCCACUCUCCCGCUGCACCCCUCGUGCAAAUCAAGGGGACCGCCGUCGUGCAUCCCGUUGUGAACCUGCCACCCGCUGCACCCGACCGGGAGCCGCCCGACGCGCCAGAUCUGGCUCGAGUAGCCAUGGAUCCGUGCAAGGGAGGCCGACCGGCGGCCGACCCGACGCCGACCNNNNNNNNNNNNNNNNNNNNNNNNNNNNNNNNNNNNNNNNNNNNNNNNNNNNNNNNNNNNNNNNNNNNNNNNNNNNNNNNNNNNNNNNNNNNNNNNNNNNNNNNNNNNNNNNNNNNNNNNNNNNNNNNNNNNNNNNNNNNNNNNNNNNNNNNNNNNNNNNNNNNNNNNNNNNNNNNNNNNNNNNNNNNNNNNNNNNNNNNNNNNNNNNNNNNNNNNNNNNNNNNNNNNNNNNNNNNNNNNNNNNNNNNNNNNNNNNNNNNNNNNNNNNNNNNNNNNNNNNNNNNNNNNNNNNNNNNNNNNNNNNNNNNNNNNNNNNNNNNNNNNNNNNNNNNNNNNNNNNNNNNNNNNNNNNNNNNNNNNNNNNNNNNNNNNNNNNNNNNNNNNNNNNNNNNNNNNNNNNNNNNNNNNNNNNNNNNNNNNNNNNNNNNNNNNNNNNNNNNNNNNNNNNNNNNNNNNNNNNNNNNNNNNNNNNNNNNNNNNNNNNNNNNNNNNNNNNNNNNNUGUCCAAAGCGUAGUAGCACUACUAGUAGGAAGUACUGUGCUCCGCGGCAACUUUAUCACGUUUCUCUUGUCUGAACUUUUUCCGUGGUGCAGUGCAGCACAAACCUACGGUGUUAAUCCUCACACAGUGGCACGUAUGCUAGCGCAGUUGUGCAUUAUACUCGAGGAUUAGCAGACAGAAGCAACUGCACCCCGAUAGUUUCCAGUCUCCUGUUAGAUAGUUUAAGCACUGGGAACGGAUUAAUAAGUCGGCAGCCAUGUGAACCGGAAUGACCGAGACUUCUCGUGUGAUUCAGGGGGGCAGCAUUCAGUAGCACACUAGCAUAAAAUACGUAUGCCUCUUGAGCCGGAAGAAAGGGCAAAUUAAAGAUGCAACGAAGCCCCCCUCUAUAAAGUACGAUUACACCUGGAAUUGGUUACUUCAUAAGCUACAUAAAACCAAACCAUAUGACUACAUGAGUAAGCGUAACAACACAAGUAAUUGACCAAUCAAAUUGAUCAAUCCACAGCUAGCAGAUUGCCGUAUCCUACCUGCGAACUGACCAAGUGCCCCCAAUAGUUUGUGCCACCUGUUUGAAGUAAAAAGUAAAGAACGAGAGAGUUGAAUGAAAGAUAAUCCAUAAGUCUUUAUUGAUGAUAGAAGUGGGGUAUUUAUACCUAGGUGGAAGUACACAUGGUGCUUGGCGGUCAAGUAAACACAUAGUUACUUGAGACCCAAGGAAUUACAUAGUUGCCUUGAGAGCCAAGGAAGUACAUGGUUGCUUGAGAACCAAGCAAUCUAUCUAACAGUUAACUUAAUCCUAAUUAGCUUAAUUAAUAAGCAACUAUCCUAUUCUUAACACUCCCCCUUGUACAACGCCUCUUCUUUGGUAUAUCCAUCAUCUUGACAAAUUCUUUGAAUAAUCUUGAAUGUCUCCUCCAAAAAUCAUGUGGGAAAAAUAUGAGGAGAAUAGUGCAAUAUGUUGCUAAAACUCCUUUAAAUCCAGUGAGAAAAAUAUAUAAUAAGGAGAAAAUGAUGCGACAUAUAAUGAUUAUUGUCUCUUGAACUCAUAUAAGAAAAACCUUUGAAGAAGGAGAAAACCCAUCAGUGAGUUUAGAGAACAAUUAAUAUGUCUUGAGUACUUUCUUUAAAGAAAACCGAUAGGAAAAAUAGAAAGUAUGACGUAUGAUCUUUGGUAAGAUAUUGCCUCGUUAAAAACCAUUAUGAGAAACUUUGAGAUAAAACUCAUAAGGGAAAAGAGUGCGAUAUGAUAUGCCAUUGAAAACUCCUUUAAAACCCAGUGGGAAAAAUAUAAGGAGAAAGUGUAUGACAUAUACGGGCACUUGUGUUUAUAUUGUCUCGUUAAAAACCUUUAUGAGAAACCAUUAGGUAAAACUCAUGAAGGGAAAAAGAGUACAAUAUAUGCAAUCUUAGGAUUGUUAAUAGGUUAUAGAUUUAGGAAAUUACUCCCCCUGAACUUUGCAAACCUGGAGAAUGUGUAAUAAAAAAUCCAUUGAUAUGAUCAUGACAUUAUGAAUAAUCUGUAGGAUUUUCAAAGUAUGUUGUUUGCAUAUUGUUUCCUCACUUCCUAUAAUUCGUGAGGAUAAGUAAUUUUCGAGCAAUGUACUUUAUGAUAUUGCUCUUCAUAUAACCUGUAGUUUUUGAGUAACACAAGUGGUAGGGUCUUGAUAAAUCAAGUUAUGCGAUUCUGAUGAAUCUCAACCACAUGAUUUUGAGUGUGGAUAAUCAUUCUGUUAUGCCAUGCAUAUUUUGCAAUGCUUUUAGAUAAAGCAAUUAUGUCAGAACGAUAACUGGAAAUAGCCAUUAAAGCCAAUUUAGAUGACUUCCAUAUGAAGGCUAUUCCAGCAAAUCUAGUCAAUUAUAUGGCAUUGUUGGGAUCAAAGAAAGAGCCAAUAUCAUUAUAUCAUAUUAUGGCCAUAUCUUGUAUUUCCUGAUGGAAAUAUCCAAGAUUUAUUGUGAGCUUGAGAUAUAAGCUGAUAUUUCUUAUAUUGACCAUAUACCUUUUGUUGGGGGUUGCACUCUGGACAAAGAUAGCAAAUAUAGUGUCAGGCCUGACUUAGUUUGCAAUUAUAUGAGUACUUUGACAUUAGUGAGAUAUAAAACUUCAGGUCCUGAUAUCACUUCAUUAACACCCAUAGGUAUGAAUGGAUUUGUACCCUAUCAAGGGUAGUAUGACCAUAUUACAUGUCUUUUAUUGAUAUGAUAUAUCCACAUUGAACUUCUCGUAUAUGUUUUGGAUAUAUGUAGACUGAUAUAUGUACUCUUGAGAGAAUGCUCAAGUUGUAAACUUAAGCUAAAUUUGGUUGAAUCCAAAUUUCCCGUCUUGAGAUGAUUGUGUGGAUGUUUAGGUCUUGUAUAGACAUUGAUGAUGAGGUCAUCAAUAUACACUGAGGUGAUGAAAGGAAGUCAAAAUGAUUCCUUUAUUAAACAUGUAAAUAAUCAACAUUAAUCGAGUAGUCCUUUUUAAGAAGGAACUCAUUUAGUCGGUAGUACCAUAUGAUUUCCUACUAUUUCAAGUCAUGGAGCGACUUAUGAAGUUUUACACAAAACUUGUUGCGAUUUGCUUUUGGAUUCAGGAGUAUAAGCCCUUCAGGGACUUAAAAAAAUCCGAAAUGAGUGACUCAUAUGAGUAUGUAGCCACUUCAUCCAUGAACUGCAUGGAUAAUGUUAUUAUUUUUAUUGCCAAUGAUAUUUAGUAUCGAAACGUAAAUCCACCCAUACCAAGAGGGUAUGUUACAUCAUAAUUGAUGUCGAGUCUCUGCGUGAACCCAUUUGCUACAAGCCUCGCUUUCUCACCAACUCGUUGACUUUGUCUAUGAAUGUAAAGUUUUUAGUAUUCCAUAUGGAAGAUACUUAUGAGGAGUAGGUAUUACUGCGGUAAACACCACUCAUUUGUUGAGCGAGUGCUAUUUUUCAUUACUUGCUUCCUUUUAUGUGAACCAAUAUGAGUGUAAGAGGCACUCUACCAUGGAUUUUGAUUCUGGGCCCAAAAGGUUUUAGCAAAUUGAGAAGAAAUAUAUGUCGACAAAUGUAGUCUUUAGUUUAUAUGAUCCUGGUGGAAUCAUUGAAGUUUGUGGAUAAAAUAUUUAUUCCUUUUUAACUCCUUGUGAUUUCCUACAACAAAUGGAGUGAAGGUGUUUCGAUGUCCCGGCACCAAAACAUUUGUGCACAUUUAUGCCGGGCUUUGGAUGAUGAGCAUCCAGUGAGGUGUCUUUCAACUUGAUGUUGAAUUACAUUUACUGGUUGAGGAUUUGAUUUCCUCUGUUUCCGCGGAAGCAUAUGAGAAGUUAUAUCUCGUCUUGUCAGAUUUUCUCCCCUCUUGCUCUCAUUUGGGGGAGAAGAGUGGUUUAUCAGGUACCUCCACUCUUUUUGAUACUUUAUUGCAGGAAUAUAGAAUUUAGUGACACCUUGUCAUCAGUAAAUGUAUGUGGCAGAUUUGCAAUGUGUUACAAAUAUAUGAUUCUCUAAACUUCUAGUUCAGAUUCUUUGAGUACGUGGAUAUAAGGAUAGAAUGUCAAUAACAUUUCUAAUUUAUUUCUCGGCAUUCUUUGUGGUACUUAUCUCCCCCUAAUGCUGAAAAAUAUCCUUAUUGUUGAUGCAAUCAGCAUACGGGCUAUGAAUAAUUUUGAUUGACGGAUAAAUUGUUAUUCCUCACAUAGAUCCCUAAUUUUCGUGAGUGCCCAUUGAUGUACGCUGGAGUGGUGAUAUCGGUAUGUAACCGAAUUAUCGCAGAUACGAAAUACUUUGUUGAUUUCCACGUAGUAACUACAAGGGGAAAGUAGUAUGCUUGCAAUUGGUAUGAUUUAGAUUAUAAUUACGGUGUGUAAGGCCGUAUGUGUCCAGCAAGAGGCUGGUAAAUUUACAAUUCUUUAAAAGUGGUCAUGUAAUUCAUUUAACUCUCUUUGAUAAGAAAUUUAGGUAAACCAUUCUGGGUAUGUACAUAAAGUACUUAAUGCAAAAAAAUUUGCUCAUUGAAUGAGUUCAACAACAUUCUUCAUUCGAAUGGGUUUAUAGAUCCUGUUUUCAGGAGAAUUUGCUCUUACUUUGAUAAGUUGAGCAAUUUAUUUAGUAAGAUCAUGCAUGGUUGUGUGUGAGACACUUAAAAACAUUUUAUGAAUGUGUAUAUGAGUACCAUGAAGUAUCUAAAUUACCCCAGAUAAUGGUUAAGCAAUAUCUUUUGAAUGUUUUUAAGGAAGAAUAAGUGUCUUGCUUAGAAUUUUAAGGUGAGAGUGGCUUAAAACUUAUUUCCCCUAUGGCACAUGUGGUGCACAUAAAAUCUGAUGAUUUGGGAAAUUUGUAAUUUGAUAAGUUGUGACCAACAGGAUUGUCAAUAAUUUUCUAAUCAUCCCCAAACCAGGAUGGUUAAGGCUACCAAGUCAAAUAUUUAAUUUGUUAAGAUCUAGAAAAUUAUUGUGUAUGCAACAAUAUUGAGUAUGACUUGAGAGUUGUCUUUGUGAUCCUUUGAAAAUGAUAUAUUCCCUAUUAAGAGGUAAUUUUGUCUUUGGUUGUCUAUUAGCCUCCACUUUACUUCGUAUUCCUCAUGGUUCUAUUUUGUGGCCACUGUCUUGCAUAGUAUUCUUAGUACCAGCAAAUAUUUCAAAUAAUGGUAUAUCACCUGUUGGGUGAAUCUGAUGAUUUUAAGAAAUUCUAUGUUACUUGAUCAUGGAAAAUUGUAGUACCAUCAUAAGAGGAUGUAAAGUGUAUGAAGGGCAUAUGGAAAUAUUUGAUCACAAGAUCUCAACUUGAAGUUGAUUAAGUGAUAGAAUUGUGAGCUGCGAUAGACUUGAGGUCUUGAAAAACGAUGGGUAAUCAUUCGCGAUGUGCUCAAGGCACCAUGUUUAUAUUAAGGGAAAUACUCAAGGUGAAUAAAUAUUCAUCCAUUAUAUGUUUAGUUUGAGAACUAAGUGGAGUUCAUGACACAUAAAAUGCAUAUGAGCAUUGCAACUUUAGAGACACCACCAAAAACAUAGACAUUGCAUGUUUAACAUUGGUUAGUCACCAUGAAAGUAUAACCACAAUGUGAUUUGGACAUGGCAAAAGUGUUGAGACACUCAAUCAUUGCCAUAAAUUAGGGGAUCCAUCUUGAUGGAUGGACGACACUAUAAUUAUAAAUAGUGACAUAGGCUCCAUUGCCAUGUAUUUUACCAAUGUAAUAGAAGGUAAUCCCCAUGGUAUGCAAAUAUUUGCGUAAUUUUCUAUGAAAUAUUCAAGCAAAGUGAGGCUUGAAUUAGCACAAGAUUACCAUUUCGGCAUAUAGUGAUUGCUAAUGAAUAAUAUUUACUAUGAGAGUAAAUCAUUUUAGUGAACAACAACAAAUGCUUCUGAGGAGCAAAUUUUAUAAAUGUAGCUGAUGCUAUCGGGGUCUUAUAUGUAUACCACAAAUUAAAUAGAUAACACUUUAAAUAUAAUCACCAAAUGCGGUGUAGAUCUCGCAGUAAUAGAAAACAUAGUCUGACUUUUGUCAGUAGAUGUUCAUACCUCUAUUACCUUAUGUUAUGCUAAAUGUAUGAAAUCACUUUGAAGGUAAUCAUCUGUCAGAGUGACAUGAUGUAGACCUUGCAGUAAUAGUGGAUAGUCUGCAAAAUUUUGCAGUAGAUGCCAAUAUUACCUAAUGAUAUCUUGAUGAGGUAGUCAUAUCUAAUAUUAAUAUUCGGAAGAGCACGUUGAAGGUAGUCAUCUUGUUAAAGUGGCAAGACGUAGACCUCACAGUAUUGAUGGAUAAUCUGCAAAUUAUGCAGUAGAUACCACCAUCACCUUGUGAUUCACAAAUUUCUGGGUAGUGGCAUUAGUUUUGACACUAAUUCUUGUUUGAUUACGUCGACAUUUGCAAAAAGAAUGAUUUUUUAUUGCAAAGUAUAGCCAUUGUAUUAAAAUGACGUAACAUAGACAAUGCCGAGGCAAACAUAUGCCAAAAGUUCUAUGUUGUCUAUGUUAGUCAAUGCCAAAGGCAAUACCACACGGUGUGUAGUAGUGUGCAUAAAAUGCAUUGUGGCUAUAUAUCAUGAACUCCAUCUUGAGUACGACCGAUGCAGUCACAUAAAUUACAUUGUGAACAAUGCAUGAACAACUUAUAAAUUGUAUGUUUAUAAUUUUAUGCACAAUAUGGAAAGACCAGAGAGGGUCUAAGUCAUAUAAGAGUGAGCCUGAUGGCUACUAUACUAAUACUCCCUCUGUUCCUAAAUAUUUGUCUACGUAAAGAUUUCAACAAGUGACUACAUACGAAGCAAAGUGAGUGAAUCUACACUCUAAAAUAUGUCUAUAUACAUCCGUAUGUGGUAGUCCAUUUGUAAUCUUAAAAAGACAAAUAUUUAAGAGCGGAGGGAGCAGUUAUGAUGAGCCUGAUGGCCUAAAAAUGCAAAACAAUACAAUAUUGAUGCCAAACUGCAUAAAUAAUUAAGCCAAAGGUCAAUCGAUUUAUUUGUAUGCAGCUUUGUACAGGGGCCUCCACUGUCUUGAGAGAUCAGGAUGGAGAGGUGUGCCGGCGAGCCAGAGGACGUCGUCCUCGUGCAUGGGCCGUUGGCCGGCCUUCGCCCCGUCUUUUGCGGUCGCACGGUGGAGUACCGCAAUUGUCGGCGCUGCCGUCCCUCCAGGAUGUAGGCCGGGCGCCGCAUCAGUCACCGCCGUUCCUACUUCCUAGAUAGAAGGUCGAGCCAUGGAGGGAUGGAUGAGGAUCAUUGUGGGCGAUGGACCACGUCGAUCGCCAUGCACCGUCUUGCCGUGGGCAAUGCUUGGUCAAAACGGUUUUUCCAUUCCGUUGAAAUAAAGUGGAUGCUGAUUAUAUGAGUUCAUCCGUUGAAAUAAGUACAUGAUCAUAAUCAAUCCUAUCAAGGUAGUAUUUUAAUGAGUGCAUGCAAACUGGAAAAUGAUCAAUCCAAUCGAUUUUCCUUCAGUGUGUUGGCAAGUCGUGAUUAGGAGCAGGUGCCCGCUACAUGCUUCUUCCCGCUGAUGCCGCUCUCGUCGAUUCACAUCGCCGUAAUUUUUUAUUUCGAAUACUUGCUGAUUCAGGAAAAAUAUAAUUGGUCAAUGAAUCACUGAUGCUAAUCAUAAAUAGAAAAUCAAGUUGGCUUUCUCCCAAUGGAUUUCUUGUAUGCAUGCAUCAUAGAUGCAUGUUCGUCUUUUCCAUGGAUGGUGUGCUAGAGCCAGCCGAUGGCUAGGACCAGGCUGCGUGCCGACUGUGACCCGGGACAUGGCAGAGGGCCACGCCGGGGUUGUCUUGUUCGCCUCGGUUGCCGUGAGGACGAGUGCGUCGUGCUGAAGGCUGUACCGCCGCCGUAGUUGGUGCCGAGGACGCUGCCGUGCGGAGACCGACGCCAUGGGCUGCUGUUGUGCCGCCACCGGGUGUGCAAGUCCGGCGCCGCUGCGUCUGCUUGUCAGAGAUAAUUCGCCUCUGUUCUACUCUGUUUUAGCCUAUCGCUCUAAGAGCAACUCUAGCAGACCCCGCAUCCUCCCGAUACGCAAAACAUUUUUGCAGUUCGCGGAAAAACGUCUUUGCGGGUCGGCACGGACGGCCGCAGUUGCAGAACCCGCAUAAUGGACCGUAAAAAAGGAUAAUAUCCUUUUUACGGGUUGGGGUUGCGGCGUCUGAUCUGGCGCAUCUCCUCCCGGCCCGCAAAACUUAAAUUUGCAACUCAAUUUGAUCUAGCGUAUUGCAUUGCUUUGACAACAUUGAAUACAAAAAGCAUCACCAAAUCUUUGCUAGAAUAGCAAGACCAAAGAAAACAAGAACUACAAGAAUGCAUUUUAGAAGAUUUCCAAUUUCCAUAACUGCUCCCACUAGUUGGAUUAAUAUCUUCUCCAUGCAUUCGUUGUUGAUCUGUGGAUUCUUGAUUUUGCAUUCUUCUUUCUUCAUCUUUGGUUCGGUAGAAGUAGAUGUUGCUUCCCCUCUAGUUGCACAUGCAGCCGCAUCAUUGCCUUCGAUUGUACUAAGGAGUGCACUAACAUCUAUUAAAUUUCUUUCUAUCAACAAAUCAAUGUAUUGCCCUUCCCAAAACCAAAAUGAGCAUCCUUCGUCCUACACAAAAGAAUGAGCAAGCUCGAAGUGAGCCACCGCAAUUUAGCUAAAGAAUGAACUAUGAAACGAGCUACCGCAAGUGCACGUACCCCGUCGUUUUCGCAUUUGAAGAACACCCAUCCGGGGUGCUUCGGCGUGCUCGAAGUGAGCCACAACACUUUCCGUGCACAGUCGUCGCACUCUAUGAGCGGCAUCGGCAAGCCACAAAGAUGCUGCGCGAGCGCCGAGCCCGGUGGACGGCGACGGCGGGCGGACGAACUCGCACCUGCAUGCGGCGAUGCACCCUUGCCUGGGUUGCGGGAGAGGCUCUCCGACCACUCCAUCGCUUGGGGCAGCAACCGGCGGCCGGAAAAAGCCAAAUCCGGCGGCCCGCGAUGAAGUGUCGCAGAUCUGCAAAUCCGGCGGCCCGCCGACGCAGGGGGAGGGGGAGGCCUCGUGCGCGUGGCGGCCUUCUGGCGUGCUCCUGCCGGCUGCGGUCGCCGGAAUCUUGGGCGGCGGCCGGCGGCGGCGCGAGAGGGGAGAGGGGAGGUGGUUGGUGGGAGAAAGCGCGGGAUGAAAUGUCCCCCCACCAACCGCUUCCGCGAGGGGGAAACCCGCGUUUUCCCGGAUUGGGCUCGGGAUUUUGCCGCGUCCCCUAAAAUUUUUUGCGGGCCGGGGCGGAAUGCGGGGUCUGAUCGGGCGGGUUUUUCCGCCCCGGCCCGCAUUUUGGCGGUUAUUUUACGGGUCGGGACGGGAUGCGGGGUCUGCUAGAGUUGCUUUAAUGGAGAGCAAAGUGCAUGAUAACGUGUUUGAAGUAAAAAGUAAAGAACGAGAGAGUUGAAUAAAAGAUAAUCCAUAAGUCUUUAUUGAUGAUAGAAGUGGGGUAUUUAUACCCAGGCGGAAGUACACAUGGUGCUUGGCGGUCAAGUAAAUACAUAAUUAUUUGAGACCCAAGGAAUUACAUAGUUGCCUUGAGAGCCAAGGAAGUACAUGGUUGCUUGAGAACCAAGCAACCUAUCUAACAGUUAACUUAAUCCUAAUUAGCUUAAUUAAUAAGCAACUAUUUCACCUGGAAUUGGUUACUUCAUAAGCUACAUAAAACCAAACCAUAUGACUACAUGAGUAAGCGUAACAACACAAGUAAUUGACCAAUCAAAUUGAUCAAUCCACAGCUAGCAGCAGAUUGCCGUAUCCUACCUGCGAACUGAUCAAGUGCCCCCAAUAGUUUGUGCCACCCACAGCGGCCACCACAACUUACGUUUGGGAUGUUAUGACGACACAUGGCCACACUAAACAUGCUACUCUUGACUCGCAGAAGGUGCAUGCAUGCAUGGGACCUAAAGUAGAUUCAUCCAUUCCUUAGCUGAGCCACCUUUCUCCCGGCCAAGCGACCGACAAACCUCGAUCGUACGAUAGCUUCCAGGUUCAGCGGCAUAUUAUUUUGGUAUCACUAUAUCACAAGCCGGUUGAUCGAUCUGCUGCAGCUUUAGUAGUAGACGCGGAUGUGGAUGGAAAAGAAGGCGGCCGGGUCCAAUGUCCCCCGGACUGCAAACCAAAGCAACAUCCAUUGAGUACAAAACGCAACUGCAGCUAGAAUAUAUAGCACCAUGACCACAUAAAAGUCUAUGCACGGCGUGGUGGUGAUUGAUAGCUCGCUAGAUUGCUACCCUGCCGGUUUAUCGCGUUGCCGCUGUCGUGCGACAACAAACAAUUACUCCCUCCGUUUUUAAAUAUAUUUUUUUAGAGAUUUUGAAUGAACUACCACAUACAGAUAUAUAUAGACAUAUUUUAGAGUGUAGAUUCACUUAUUUUGCUCCGUACGUAGUCACUUGUUGAAAUCUCUAGAAAAACAAAUAUUUAGAAACGGAGGGAGUACAUGUCAUGGCGCUUCUUCGUGUCCUAGUAGUAUCAUAAUAUAAGGUACAUCUGUUGCUUUCGAGAGAAAUAUACUGCAUCCGUUCUCUCUGUGAAGGAACGGGUGAUGAAGUAUACAUCGUGACCUUGCGAGGCAGGCGUGAAAGCAAUGAGGCUGUUUGCGGUAAUGCUACACCCAUGUAAGGCUACGUAUGUGUUUUACGUAAUAUGCAAGGUGGACCAAUCAGAUUAGAGGAAGGAGGAUGAAGCGGCCCACCCUCUUGAAAAUUNNNNNNNNNNNNNNNNNNNNNNNNNNNNNNNNNNNNNNNNNNNNNNNNNNNNNNNNNNNNNNNNNNNNNNNNNNNNNNNNNNNNNNNNNNNNNNNNNNNNNNNNNNNNNNNNNNNNNNNNNNNNNNNNNNNNNNNNNNNNNNNNNNNNNNNNNNNNNNNNNNNNNNNNNNNNNNNNNNNNNNNNNNNNNNNNNNNNNNNNNNNNNNNNNNNNNNNNNNNNNNNNNNNNNNNNNNNNNNNNNNNNNNNNNNNNNNNNNNNNNNNNNNNNNNNNNNNNNNNNNNNNNNNNNNNNNNNNNNNNNNNNGGGGGUGAAGUUAAUUAGUUAGGAAGGUAGGAUUAUCGGGCUGUUUGUAAUGGGUAGUACUAUCAUAAGUUAGUAUCAUGCAUAUGAUACUACCUUCCUAAUGCAUAGUAUCAUACUCCCUCCUUUCUGGUUUAUAGGGCUCAAUUCAAAAAUCUCACCAACCAAGGUAGAUGAUGAGUGCUGGAAUAAUUUUUGUAAUUUACAAAAGAACCCAAUUAAUGCUCUUGUUUUCCUCAAAAAUUUAUGUUUAUCAAUGCAUUAAUUGCAAUGCAUGCAUGCAUAAAGUACAUCCAUUGGUCAAUUUUCUCUUAAUACUUGCAUGCAAUUAUUUAAUGCACCCUUGAAAUCUGAACUUGUGAUGGGGAACAACAAAAUUAAGCCUUAUAAAAUGAAAAAACUAAGAUUUUGAGAUAAAUGCAUAUGACACUCGGCUGUGCACGUCAGUGUGUCAGACAGAUGAAGCUGUGGAAUGUGUGCAUUUCUAGGCCAGCUGCUUCUCACAUGCAAUAAAAUCGAGUUGACACGUCGUGCAUCUGAUCUGGUCCGGCCGCAGGUUGGACGUCUAGGAGGGUUCAUGGAUACGUUUUAGUCCCAUGACUAAAAGUAGUGGGAUUAAAACUGGCUAGCCUCAUCCAUGCUUGGAUCUAAAUACUAAAGAGACUAAAAUUAAGUUAAUGAACAUUUAUUAUCCUUCAAACCCUCCAAUCCAGAACUCGCGUGUGUUAAAGGGAAAGAGUUAAAUGAGGAGAGAGAUGACUAAUCCACAUUUUAGUAGGGGUACCCCUGACUAAAAUUUUUUAGUCUCAAGGCUAGUUUUAGCCCCUCUUUAGUUAGGGGUGCUUGGAACUUUAACCUCUUAAAGAGACUAUUUUUAUUUAAACUAAAAUAAGCCCCUUGGAUCAAAAACCCUCUAGGAUAGGCUAGCAUCACAGACGGGCGUGGUCGCGCCUCGCUUGGCUGGCUGCCUUAUCUGUCUCCGCUUCCCGAGGCGAGGCCCAUUGUCGCAUUGCUCUCAACGACCCGGCCGCGUAUCAGGUUAUCUAUCGGUCAUGAGCGAGCAGCAAUGGAAAAUGAAGGUGCCAUACGCAGCAGACGGAAUGAAAACACGUGCAAUUCGACGAUGCAAUUGAUCCAUGGCGUCACAUGGCACCAACGACAACCGCUAAUAAACACCCCGGCUACCAGGUCGAUGGGUGCAUCAGAUCGACGGACUACUACUGUAGCUUGUACACGCGGACGCCUUAAACACGAGGGCGGAGGCGCCCACAGCGCGUCGGCGACGUGCCGGGCCAGCGGCGCGGCGGGAGCGGCACCUGGCUGUCGCAGGGGAGCCGCGAGCACGUGAAGCAGAUGACCAUUGUUCGUUUGUCCGCCGAGCCAAACUGCCAAAUCGAGGCCAGCGCUGGACAACCACCUGUUGGCAUCACGGCGUCGUGGCGUAGACACCUGGCCCUUCGCCGUUUCCUUCCCCGGCACCUUUGCGUCGGUCGGUGUCCUUCAUCUUUGGCAUUGCACUUUCUUCUCUCCAAUAGUGCAUGCAUGCUUUUCAUGUUCCAGAUGGCGCAUGUCUAAAGCCGUACUACUGUACUACACGGCUCCUCGUCGUGUGAUCUAUGGCGGACAACGCCAUCUUUUUAUUUUGCCGGCAAGUGUGCCGCAUGACCACGGGAGAUGGCGUGGUUGUUCCCACAUCUCUUUUUGUGUGCUGGUAGUGCCGCCCGUUGGCAAGUGCGCCGGUAUACACUGUGUAGUGUUUGUUUUAGGUUGUCAUGGCGUCGACAUGAACUCUGGUCGAUGGCAUGGCCACUGACAUGAUCUAUUGUCGUGUGCCUUUUUAGAAUUCAUACCGUUUUCUGCGCGAACGAGAAUUGGGUCGGCCGGCUGGGCGCACGACCGACCCAAACGCAGAAGGGGCGGACGAGCUGACCCAAACGGACAAAAAUUAAGCGGACAAAGCGCCAUCCAGCGCGGUGGAGUUGCUCUUAGGCCAACUUCGACCUUGGCCGCGUCCUUUGAAGCUAAACAGACAUAAAUCACGGUCCAACGUGUAGGAGCAAAUGGAUAAACGUUCGUUUUUUGUCUGUUUUUAUACAUUCCCGGUCUAAAUUUGGGCCGCGUUUGCGUCGAAACGGACAGCGCGCGAACGGGCGGUUGUCCUCCCCUGGCCCGCCCGUCAGGGACACAACACCCAUUUUCUCUUCCCCUACACCUCUCCCCGCCCUCCGCCCCCCGCCACAGCCGCCGCCACCCAUUUUUCCGACCGCCUCAUCGCUUUCUAACCCAGCCGCCCAAACCACGAUCAUCCCUCGCCAUAGCCGCCCCACGCCUGCGUUUCGGAGGAAUUUGUGUGCUACCAAAUGUCACAACCAUGACUAUGAGAUUAUGCAACUCCCGUUUACCGGAGGAACACUUUGUGUGCUACCAAAUAUCACAACGUAACUGGGUGAUUAUAAAGGUGCUCUACAGGUGUCUCCAAAGGUACUUGUUGAGUUGGCGUAUUUCGAGAUUAGGAUUUGUCACUCCGAUUGUCGGAGAGGUAUCUCUGGGCCCACUCGGUAAUACACAUCAUUAUAAGCCUUGCAAACAUUGUAACUAAUGAGUUAGUUGCGGGAUGAUGUAUUACGGAACGAGUAAAGGGACUUGCCGGUAAAGAGAUUGAACUAGGUAUUGAGAUACCGACGAUCGAACCUCGGGCAAUUAACAUACCGAUGACAAAGGGAACAACGUAUGUUGUUAUGCGGUUCGACCGAUAAAGAUCUUCGUAGAAUAUGUAGGAGCCAAUAUGGGCAUCCAGGUUCCGCUAUUGGUUAUUGACCAGAGAGAUGUCUCGGUCAUGUCUACAUAGUUCUCGAACCCGUAGGGUCCGCACGCUUAACGUUCGUUGACGAUAUAGUAUUUAUGAGUUAUGUAUGUUGGUAACCGAAUGUUGUUCGGAGUUCCGGAUAAGAUCACGGACAUGACGAGGAACUCUGGAAGGGUUCCGGAAUUCAUCGGAAGGGGUUCCGGAUGUUUCCCGAAAUGUUUGGGCACGAGAACACUUUAUUUGGGCCAAAGGGAAAAGCCCACGAGGUUUUUGGAAAGUGCAAAAGGAAGUUUUACGGAGACCAGAGGCUAGACGCCCUGGCGUCUAGGGGGUAGACGCCGGGAACCCUGGCGUCUAGCCCUGGAGUCCGAGAAGGACUCUUGCCUUUCGGGCAAAACCGACUUUGAGGAGGCUUUUACUCCAAGUUUCGACCCCAGGGCUCAAAAUAUAAAUAGAGGGGUAGGGCUAGCACCCAAGACGCAUCAAGAAACACCAAGCCGUGUGCCGGCAACCCCGUCCCCUCUAGUUUAUCCUCCGUCAUAGUUUUCGUAGUGCUUAGGCGAAGCCCUGCGGAGAUUGUUCUUCACCAACACCAUCACCACGCCGUCGUGCUGCCGGAACUCAUCUACUAUUUCGCCCGUCUUGCUGGAUCAAGAAGGCGAGGACGUCAUCGAGCUGAACGUGUGCUGAACUCGGAGGUGCCGUGCGUCCGUUACUUGGAUCAGUCGGAUCGUGAAGACGUACGACUACAUCAACCGCGUUGAUAAAACGCUUCCGCUUACGGUCUACGAGGGUAGACAACACUCUCCCCUCUCAUUGCUAUGCAUCAACCAUGAUCUUGCGUGUGCGUAGGAUUUUUUUUAAAAUUACUACGUUCCCCAGCAGUGGCAUCAGAGCCAGGUUUAUGCAUAGAUGUUAUAUGCACGAGUAGAACACAAGUGAGUUGUGGGCGAUACAAGUCAUACUGCUUACCAGCAUGUCAUACUUUGAUUCGGCGGUAUUGUUGGAUGAAGCGGUCCGGACCGACAUUACGCGUACGCUUACGCGAGACUGGUUCUACCGACGUGCUUUGCACACAGGUGGCUGGCGGGUGUCAGUUUUUCCAACUUUAGUAGAACCGAGUGUGACUAUGCCCGGUCUUUGAGAAGGUUAAAACAGCACUAACUUGAUGAACUAUCGUUGUGGUUUUGAUGCGUAGGUAAGAACGGUUCUUGCUCAGCCCGUAGCAGCCACGUAAAACUUGCAACAACAAAGUAGAGGACGUCUAACUUGUUUUUGCAGGGCAUGUUGUGAUGUGAUAUGGUCAAGACAUGAUGCUAUAUUUUAUUGUAUGAGAUGAUCAUGUUUUGUAACCGAGUUAUCGGCAACUGGCAGGAGCCAUAUGGUUGUCGCUUUAUUGUAUGCAAUGCAAUCGCCCUGUAAUUGCUUUACUUUAUCACUAAGGGGUAGCGAUAGUCGUAGAAGCAAUAGUUGGCGAGACGACAACGAUGCUACGAUGGAGAUCAAGGUGUCGCGCCGGUGACGAUGGUGAUCAUGAUGGUGCUUCGGAGAUGGAGAUCACAAGCACAAGAUGAUGAUGGCCAUAUCAUAUCACUUAUAUUGAUUGCAUGUGAUGUUUAUCUUUUAUGCAUCUUAUUUUGCUUAGAUCGACGGUAGCAUUAUAAGAUGAUCUCUCACUAAAUUUCAAGGUAUAAGUGUUCUUCCUGAGUAUGCACCGUUGCGAAAGUUCUUCGUGCUGAGACACCACGUGAUGAUCGGGUGUGAUAAGCUCUACGUUCAAAUACAACGGGUGCAAGACAGUUUUGCACACGCGGAAUACUCAUGUUAAACUUGACGAACCUAGCAUAUGCAGAUAUGGCCUCGGAACACUGAGACCGAAAGGUCGAGCGUGAAUCAUAUAGAAGAUAUGAUCAACAUAGUGAUGUUCACCAUUGAAAACUACUCCAUCUCAUGUGAUGAUCGGACAUGGUUUAGUUGAUAUGGAUCACGUGAUCACUUAGAUGAUUAGAGGGAUGUCUAUCUAAGUGGGAGUUCUUUAAUAAUUUGAUUAACUGAACUUUAAUUUAUCAUGAACUUAGUCCUGGUAGUAUUAGCAUAUCUAUGUUGUAGAUCAAUAGCUCGCGUUUAGCUCCCCUGUUUUAUUUUUGAUAUGUUCCUAGAGAAAACUAAGUUGAAAGAUGUUAGUAGCAAUGAUGCGGAUUGGAUCCGUGAUCUGAGGACUAUCCUCAUUGCUGCACAGAAGAAUUAUGUCCUUGAUGCAUUGCUAGGUGACAGACCGAUUGCAGGAGCAGAUGCAGACGUUAUGAAUGUUUGGCAAGCUCGAUAUGUUGACUACUUGAUAGUUUAGUGCACCAUGCUUUACGGCUUAGAAUCGGGGCUUCAAAGACGUUUUGAACGCCACGGAGCAUAUGAGAUGUUCCAAGAGUUGAAAUUAGUAUUUCAGACUCAUGCCGAUGUCGAAAGGUAUGAGAACUUUGCCAAGUACUUUGACUACAAGAUGGAGGAGAAUUGCUCAGCUAGUGAGCAUGUGCUCAGAAUGUCUGAGUAAUACAAUCACUUGAAUCAAGUGGGAGUUAAUCUUCCAGAUAUGAUAGUGAUUGACAGAGUUCUCUAGUCACUAUCACCAAGUUACUAGAACAUCGUGAUGAACUAUAAUAUGCAAGGGAUAACGGAAACGGCUCCCAAGCUCUUCGUGAUGCUGAAAUCGACGAAGGUAGAAAUCAAGAAAAGCAUCAAGUGUUGAUGGUUGACAAGACCACUAGUUUAAAAAAAGGCAAAGAGAAGAAGGGGAACUUCAAGAAGAACGGCAAGCAAGUUUCUGUUGAAGUGAAGAAACCCAAGUCUGGACCUAAGUCUGAGACUGAGUGCUUCUACUGCAAAGGGACUAGUCACUGGAAGUGGAACUGCCCUAGAUACUUAGCGGAUAAGAAGGAUGGCAAAAUGAACAAAGGUAUAUUUGAUAUACAUGUUAUUGAUGUGUACUUUACUAGUGUUUAUAGCAACCCUUCAGUAUUUGAUACUAGUUCAGUUGCUAAGAUUAGUAACUCGAAACGGGAGUUGCAGAAUGAACAGAGACUAGUUAAAGGUGAAGUGACGAUGUGUGUUGGAAGUGGUUCCAAGAUUGAUACGAUCAUCAUCGCACACUCCCUAUACUUUCAGGAUUAGUGUUGAACCUAAAUAAAUGUUAUUUGGUGUUUGCGUUAAGCAUGAAUAUGAUUUGAUCAUAUUUAUAGCAAUACGGUUAUUCAUUUAAAGUCGGAGAAUAAUUGUUGUUCUGUUUACAUGAAAAAAACCUUCAAUGGUCAUACACCCAAGGUGAAUAGUUUAUUGAAUCUCGAUCAUAGUGAUACACAUAUUCAUAAUAUUGAAGCCAAAAGAUGCAAAGUUAAUAAUGAUAGUGCAACUUGUUUGUGGCACUGCCGUUUAGGUCAUAUUGGUGUAAAGCGCGUGAAGAAAAUCCAUGCUGAUGGGCUUUUGGAAUCACUUGAUUAUGAAUUAGUUGAUGCUUGCGAACCAUGCCUCAUGGGCAAGAUGACUAACACUCCGUUCUCUGGAACAAUGGAGCGAGCAACAGACUUGUUGGAAAUAAUACAUACUGAUGUAUGCAGUCCGAUGAGUGUUGAGUCUCGCGGCAGGUACCGUUAUUUUCUGACCUUCACAGAUGAUUUGAGCAGAUAUGGGUAUAUCUACUUGAUGAAACAUAAAUCUAAAACAUUUGAAAAGUUCAAAUAAUUUCAGAGUGAAGUGGAAAAUCAUCGUAACAAGAAAAUAAAAGUUUAUACGAUUUGAUCGUGGAGGAGAAUAUUUGAGUUACGAGUUUGGUCUUCGUUUGAAACAAUGCGGAAUAGUUUCACAACUCACGCCACCUGGAACACCACAGCGUGAUGGUGUGUCCGAACAUCGUAACCGUACUUUAUUAGAUAUAGUGCAAUCUAUGAUGUCUCUUAUCGAUUUACCACUAUCGUUUUGGGGUUAUGCAUUAGAGAUAGCUGCAUUCACGUUAAAUAGGGCACCAUAUAAAUCCGUUGAGACGACACCAUAUGAACUGUUGUUUGGCAAGAAACCAAAGUUGUCGUUUCUUAAAAGUUUGGGGUUGCGAUGCUUAUGUGAAAAAAGUUUCAUCCUAAUAAGCUCAAACCCAAAUCGGAGAAAUGUGUCUUCAUAGGAUACCCAAAGGAGACAGUUGGGUACACCUCCUACCACAGAUCCGAAGGCAAGACAUUCAUUGCUAAGAAUGGAUCCUUUCUAGAGAAGGAGUUUCUCUUGAAAGAAGUGAGUGGGAGGAAAGUAGAACUUGAUGAGGUAACUGUACCUGCUCCCUUAUUGGAAAGUAGUUCAUCACAGAAAUCUGUUCCUGUGACUCCUACACCAAUUAGUGUGGAAGCUAAUGAUGAUGAUCAUGUAACUUCAGAUCAAGUUACUACCGAACCUCGUAGGUCAACCAGAGUGAGAUCCACACAAGACUGGUACGGUAAUCCUGUUCUGCAGGUCAUGUUACAUGACCAUGACGAACCUACGAACUAUGAGGAAGCGAUGAUGAGCCCAGAUUUCUCGAAAUGGCUUGAGGCCAUGAAAUCUGAGAUGGGAUCCAUGUAUGAGAACAAAGUGUGGACUUUGGUUGACUUGCCCGAUGAUCGGCAAGCCAUAGAAAAUAAAUGGAUCUUCAAGAGGAAGACGGACGCUCAUAGUAGUGUUACUAUCUACAAUAGACUUGUCGAAAAAGGUUUUUGACUACGAUGGGAUUUUCUCACUCGUAGCAAUGCUUAUGUCUGUCCGAAUCAUGUUAGCAAAUUGCCACAUUUUAUGAAAUCUGGCAAUGGAUGUCAAAACUACAUUCCUUAAUGGAUUUCUUAAAGAAGAGUUGUAUAUGAUGCAACCAGAAGGAUUUGUUGAUCCUAAAGGUGCUAACAAAAUGUGCAAGCUCCAGCGAUCCAUCUAUGGACUGGUGCAAGCAUCUCGGAGUUGGAAUAUACGCUUUGAUGAGUUGAUCAAAGCAUAUAGUUUUAUACAAACUUGCGGUGAAGCCUGUAUUUACAAGCAAGUGAGUGGGAGCACUACAGCAUUUCUGAUAAGUAUAUGUGAAUGACAUAUUGUUGAUCGGAAAUAAUGUAAAUUUUUUUCUGGAAAGCAUAAAGGAGUAUUUGAAAGGAGUUUUUUUUUAAAGAAAGACCUCGGUGAAGCUGCUUACAUAUUGAGCAUCAAGAUCUAUAGAGAUAGAUCAAGACGCUUGAUAAGUUUUUUCAAUGAGUACAUACCUUGACAAGAUUUUGAAGUAGUGGAACAGUCAAAGAAAGAGUUCUUACAUGUGUUACAAGGUGUGAAAUUGAGUAAGACUCAAAGCCCGACCACGACAGAAGAUAGAAAGAGAAUGAAAGUCAUUCCCUAUGCCUCAGCCAUAGGUUCUAUAAAGUAUGCCAUGUUAUGUACCAGACCUAUUGUAUACCCUGCCCUGAGUUUGGCAAUGGAGUACAAUAGUGAUCUAGGAGUAGAUCACUGGACAUUGGUCAAAAUUAUCCUUAGAGGACUAAGAAAAUAUUUCUCGGUUAUGGAGGUGAUAUAGAGUUCGUCGUAAAGAGUUACGUUGAUGCAAGCUUUGACACCGAUCUAGAUGACUUUGAGUCUCGAUCUAGAUACAUAUUGAAAGUGGGAGCAAUUAGCUAGAGUAGCUCAGUGCAGAGCAUUGUAGACAUAGGAAUUUGCAAAGUACAUACAGAUCUGAAUAUUGCAGAUCCGUCGACUAAACUUCUCUCACAAGCAAAACAUGAUCACACCUUAGUACUCUUUGGGUGUUAAUCACAUGGCGAUGUGAACUAGAUUACUGACUCUAGUAAACCCUUUGAGUGUUGGCCAUAUGGCAAUGUGAACUAUGGACAUGGUGAUGUGAACUAUUGGUGUUAAGUCACAUGGCAAUGUGAACUAGAUUAUUGACUCUAGUGCAAGUGGGAGACUGAAGGAAAUAUGCCCUAGAGGCAAUAAUAAAGUUGUUAUUUAUAUUUCCUUAUAUCAUGAUAAAUGUUUAUUAUUCAUGCUAGAAUUGUAUUAACCGGAAACUUAGUACAUGUGUGAAUACAUAGACAAACAGAGUAUCACUAGUAUGCCUCUACUUGACUAGCUCGUUGAAUCAAAGAUGGUUAAGUUUCCUAGCCAUAGACAUGAGUUGUCAUUUGAUUAAACGGGAUCACAUCAUUAGAGAAUGAUGUGAUUGACUUGACCCAUUCCGUUAGCUUAGCACUUGAUCGUUUAGUAUGUUGCUAUUACUUUCUUCAUGACUUAAACAUGUUCCUAUGACUAUGAGAUUAUGCAACUCCCGUUUACCGGAGGAACACUUUAUGUGAUACCAAAUGUCACAACGUAACUGGGUGAUUAUAAAGGUGCUCUACAGGUGUCUCCGAAGGUACUUGUUGAGUUGGCGUAUUUCGAGAUUAGGAUUUGUCACUCCGAUUGUCGGAGAGGUAUCUCUGGGCCCACUCGGUAAUACACAUCACUAUAAGCCUUGCAAGCAUUGUAACUAAUGAGUUAGUUGCGGGAUGAUAUAUUACGGAACGAGUAAAGAGACUUGCCGGCAACGAGAUUGAACUAGGUAUUGAGAUACCGACGAUCGAACCUCGGGCAAGUAACAUACCGAUGACAAAGGGAACAACGUAUGUUGUUAUGCGGUUCAACCGAUAAAGAUCUUCGUAGAAUAUGUAGGAGCCAAUAUGGGCAUCUAGGUUCCGCUAUUGGUUAUUGACCAAAGAGAUGUCUCGGUCAUGUCUACAUAGUUCUCGAACCCAUAGGGUCCGCACGCUUAACGUUCGUUGACGAUAUAGUAUUUAUGAGUUAUGUAUGUUGGUAACCGAAUGUUGUUCGGAGUUUCGGAUAAGAUCACGGACAUGACGAGGAACUCCCGAAUGGUCCGAAGAUAAAGAUUGAUAUAUGGGAUAAUAGUGUUUGGUCUCCGGAAGGGUUCCGGAAUUCAUCGGAAGGGGUUCCGGAUGUUUCCCGAAAUGUUUGGGCACGAGAACACUUUAUUUGGGCCAAAGGGAAAAGCCCACGAGGUUUUUGGAAAGUGCAAAAGGAAGUUUUAUGGAGACCAGAGGCUAGACGCCCUGGCAUCUAGGGGGUAGACGCCGGGAACCCUGGUGUCUAGCCCUGGAGUCCGAGAAGGACUCUUGCCUUUCGGGCAAAACCGACUUUGAGGAGGCUUCUACUCCAAGUUUCGACCCCAGGGCUCAACAUAUAAAUAGAGGGGUAGGGCUAGCACCCAAGACACAUCAAGAAACACCAAGCCGUGUGCCGGCAACCCCGUCCCCUCUAGUUUAUCCUCCGUCAUAGUUUUUGUAGUGCUUAGGCGAAGCCCUGCGGAGAUUGUUCUUCACCAACACCGUCACCACGCCGUCGUGCUGCCGGAACUCAUCUACUACUUCGCCCGUCUUGUUGGAUCAAGAAGGUAAGGACGUCAUCGAGCUGAACGUGUGCUGAACUCGGAGGUGCCGUGCGUUCGGUACUUGGAUCGGUCGGAUCGUGAAGACGUACGACUACAUCAACCGCGUUGAUAAAACGCUUCCGCUUACGGUCUACGAGGGUACGUAGACAACACUCUCCCCUCUCGUUGCUAUGCAUCAACCAUGAUCUUGCGUGUGCGUAGGAAUUUUUUUGAAAUUACUACGUUCCCCAACAGUAUAUUCAUAUUGGACCAGAAAAAAAAACAAAUUUUAGGACGCAGGGGAUUCUCACCAUGUGUGCUCGCUUGCCUUCAUGUGGCAGCUGCACGCGUGGGAUGGAGGCGGAGCCGCGCAAGGCCGCCACGUGCGAAGAAGAGGGGCGCUGCUGCUUCCCUUCUCCGGAUCAAGGCCGCGACUGCUGCUCCCCUCCAGAUCUCACUAAUGGCUGCCGCCGCGUGGAAGAUUCCGGUUCUGCUUGGGGUGCCAUCAUGGAAGGAGAAUGAACAUCCGACAGGGUUCUUUGGCUUACCGCUUGUUGGGCAGCCAUAGCUAUACGUGACAGAAUUAAUUUUUAUAACAGACUAUACAUAAGAACCACAAACAAUUAGAAUUUAAAAACAACUUCCAGAAAAGAUGGCAGCCAUAAACAUCUAUCAUGGAUGCACACGCAGAUCACUUACGUAUUCAUGAAACAUGUCACAAUUAUAAGCAUCUAAUCAACGUAGUAUGGUACUACUAAACCAUCUGUACCACGGAGCGCUCAGCAUCAUACAUUCCAUGUUGUUAACUUCCUCGAUACUUCAGAUUUAAAAAUGCUUUAGCAUCAUUAGGGUGUCUUCAUUUAACAUUUUUUUAGGACUAAAUGUAUUUCUGUGCAGACCUAGUUUACAAAAUCAGAAUACAAAUUUAGCAUAACAACAAAAGAAAGCAAACAAGUAUCAGUUCUUGAUAGGAAAAAAAUGGCAGCAUCGAAGAUCCAAAAGCAAGUGAGUACCAACCAUUAGCAAAGGCAGCAGCAGUUUUAUAUAUGUUCUCAUAAUUAAUCAUCACUAAGAAGCAAUACAAUAGGAUAUCAUGAGUGCAUCAAUCAUAUGUGCGUAGUUGUUCUUAUAAGUGAAUUUUGUGAUUGAAUAUUGAAUGGAAUCCAAAAGUUAUGAAUCUAGUAAUGGAAUUAUCUUCCAAUAGCUCUAGUGCACAUUCUAAAUAACCAAAUUCUUCGUCCAUAUCGCAACCAUCUACGAAGAAACACACUUCUCAGUUUUUACUGAUGAGCAAUCCGGCUAAAGCUCCUACAAAUUAAAAUAAAAUAUUCAGAAGGGGAAAAGAACAUCAAUAACUUUCAGAUGUUGGCAUAGGCAUAGCUGGACCAACUAAGAUGCAAGAUUUGCCGAUAUAAAUCCAUUCAUAAAAUAAUAAUGUUGCUCUGCAAUCUUUUCAGUUGUUGUGGUGUAAUCUUCAGGAGCAAGGUCGCUAGCUGAGUUCAUUUCAGCAAGAAAAAUUAACCCUCUUCCUUUUGGUAAACCAUUCAAUACCACAACACAAAAGUACUAACACUAUUUUGACACAUGAACGUUUUUUAAGCCAAUCAAGUAAAUUAAUCUCCAGUUGUACUAACUGGCACCAAUAUAUUAACUACCACCAUUUUUUCCUGCCCAAGAUACCUCGAACAUUUAACACAAGCAUCAAAUUCGCACCCAGAUAACCCAAAAAGAAACGGUCACCCUAAUUAACCUAAUAAACCAAAUCAAACAGGUUUACCCGUAAGAAUCAGAGCAAAAAUGGAGGUAAGGAAGAACAAGGAGAUGCAUGGCAGGAGGCACGUACCUGGCAGAGAGGCAAUGGAUGAAGAUGCGGGCGCUCUCGGCGAAGGCGGCCAUGGUGUCCUUGUCCUUGACCAGCCGCCGCACGAUGGCCUUGGGGAGCUCCUCCACCUCCGCCUCCGUCAUCGGAGCAGCCAGCGCAGGCUUGGCCCUUGACCCCUCCCCAUCGUGGUCGGCUGUAACUCCUUUGUCUUCCACACCAUAGAUCCCUGCGCUGCCUUUGGUGUUGGCUGUUGAGGCGAGGCACGACGUCGUCGAGAAAGAAGAGAGGAAGAGGACGAAGGGGUGGAGGCGCCGGACUUCCCACAGCCUGCUACCCCCGCUCCAACUGCUCCGACCACAUCACGUGGUCUAGAUCCGGAGGCAGGGAAGGAGGAGAGGAAGGGGAGGAGAAGGUGCUGAAGGCGGAGGGGGCGAGGCAGCCGUGAGGGACGGGGAAGAGGAGGAGGCUGCGGUGGCAUGGGGAAGAGGAGCCGGAUGAGAAGGGAGAGGGAGAAAGAGGAGAUAUUUUCUUAGAAGAGAGAGGGGUCAACCAAUCAGGCUCGCUGUGGUCCAUCCCAAUUCUUUUACUUUUCUCUCGCUACCCCCGCUCGCUCGCUCAUUGGCUGUCCGGUCGCUCACUAUUCAUAGCUGACGUGGAGCCAUCGGUUGCACCGAGCACCCCAGCAUCCUUUAUAAGGUAAAUGGCUACCAUUACAAUAAGGGAUACUACCUAGCUGAUGGUAUCUAUCCUCAAUGGUCAACUCUUUUGAAGACAAUACCCAAUCCGCAAGGAGAAAAGACACAGAGAUUUGCCCAAAUGCAAGAGAGUGCUAGGAAGGAUGUAGAGCGUGCUUUUGGUGUGCUUCAAUCUCGAUGGGUAUCGUUCGAAAUCCUGCAGUGACAUGGAGCACCGAGAAGCUUUGGGAGGUGACGAUUGCUUGUGUGAUCAUGCACAACAUCAUUGUGGUGGAUGAGCGUGAUGACAACAUCGACGACCGAGGGUUUGAUUUUCAGGGUGAAAAUGUUGAGCCUCAGCACCAAGAACUGGCAAAGUUUGAACUGCUCACCCAAUUCCAUCGUGAAAUGCGUGAUUGGCAUAUACUCAUAUGCAGCUCCAAGAUGACUUGGUUGAGCACAUGUGAAAUCACAUUGACCAGUAUGUAUUGGUUCAUUUUCUUUCCAUCUAUUGAAGACAGUUUCGUUUGGGUUGUAAAAUUAUUUGAUUAUGUUUUUUCUCGGAUAUGAAACUAUUUGUUUAUAAAACUAUUUGCAAUGCUUUAUUUAUUUGAUUGUAAAAAAUAUUUACAAUGUGUAUAGUGCAUACAUAGGGGCUCCAGCGGCCGUGGCGGACCAGAUGCGUCCGCGCGUUGGGCACACGGCCAGCGCAUCCAGAAAAAAACGGCCGGACGUCGCCCCAUUUCCCUAUCCAAGCGGAUAAAAUUCGGACAAAAUAGACGUCUGUUUGGGGUCGUACGUUGGAGUUGGCUUUAAUCCCCACACUGUAGUAUACUAGCUCCAUGCUAAAUUUUAUACUCCUACAAUUUAGCCGGACGUCAGUCUUAGGAAAGAAAGCCUAGUGGUUGGUCUGGUUGUCAUGCUUGGGUUGGGCCUCGGUUCAAUCUUGCCGAUUCUACCUAGACAUGGCUCAAAAUGAAGAAUUUAAAAUUUGAGCCAGUUAAUGCUUUUGGGAAUGAAGCGGCAACCGUGCGGAGCACCAAGGCCGCCGAUAGCAGCACCGGGGCGAAUGAAGCGAGGCCCGGUGAUGCGGUCAAGGCCACGGCCAGGAACGAGCCGUAGUCGGUGGCAACCGACGGUGGCAAGCAUGGAACUUGAUAGUUUGGGGUGGAAGGGGGUGCAGGCCUCGGUGAAAUCUGGUGCUUCGCCGGUUUAGAGGGAUGGCUGUGGGCAGCGCCAGCACGGCCGUGGCCGACGGUGAGGCUGACGCAGGGGCGCCGGUUACGGAUGGCGGAGGCCAGCGGUUGGGUUGGUGGUACUUUGGGCGGUUUGGAGAAGAGGGGAAAGAUACGAGGUUGAAGAAGGACAUCUUCAUUGGUUUUGCAUGACAUUUGUUGAUGUCUUCACUCCGGCCAUGAGAUUUUUUUUAUUUUGGACAGGUGACAAACCUCCGUGCAACUGUAUAGAUGUCCAUGCAGUGCAGUCACUGCCGUGUGGAUCCGGCCCCAUACGUCAUCCUCACUACAGCACUGUACGGUACUGCAGAGGAUCUCAACCCCCAAAUGUUAUACUCCCUCCGCUUUUAUUUAGUUCGCGUAUUAGCUUUGGUCAAAGUCAAGCUUUGUAAACUUUGACAAAAUUUCUAAACAAAAGUAUUAACAUAUAUAAUAACAAAUCAAUACCAUUAUAUUUAUUAUUAAAUGUACUUUCACAUUAUAUAGAUUUGAUAUGGUAAAUGUUUACAUUGUUUUUUAUAAACUUAGUCAAACUUUACGUAGUUUGACUUCAGUCAAAUCUAAUACGCGAACUAAAUAAAAAUGGAGGGAGUACCUGUAUUGAUUGAUCGGCUGUAACUCGAUUGCAGCGAAAUGGGAGGGAAGGGCCAUGGGGUCUCUGUCCCCCGGACUGCAGACCAAAGCAACCAUGAGAGGUACUCUACCUCUACGGUGCAAAUAUAUGGGCUUGACCACAAAAAAGCUGGAGCAUAUACAACGUAAUGCGACACAGAGGAAGAUUGGUACCCUGCCGAUUAAUUCUAUCGUGUUGCAGCUCUACAACGGCAUGAACGCGGGCAGUUGACGCCGGACAGUAACACGCAUGGGCGAGGGAGAAGGGUUUUGCAUGGGUCAAGAUGGUCAGAUGCGGACGUGACUGCUGUUCGGAUGUCCGCAAAGCCUCCAUGUUUGUUUUUGUUUUACGGGAAAAAGUGCGUUCAGACAGUCUUGCAGACUGAUGCAGGCCCGUAUUGAAUGACACAACACGUCUGAACGCGCGGUCCAGACGGUUUGAAAGUAGGCGUGUUGGAGAUGCCCUGAGCUACAUAAAGCCAACCGUAUAAAUAGCAACACAAGCAAUUGACCUAUCAAAAUUAAUCAAUCCAAUUGCAGUAUAUUGCCUGCGAACAGGUCAAGUGCCCUAAAUAAUUUGUGCCACCCAUGGGCGCCUUCUUUGCAGAGGUGGAGGAGUGGGCAGCGGAGAGUAGAUAGUCUUUCAGACUAGGUGGAGGGUGGAAGUAGAGUUAGUGUGCAGUGUAUAUAUGUAAUCUGUAAUGCUAACGUGGACGGGCUCUUUACCCCGAUUCCUUCUAUAUAAUAUAGUACGCACACUCGUGCGUAUUCGAGAAAAAAAAAGAACCAUUGCUAAAAAAUAGGAGUGCAUGCAUGGGACCUAAAGUAGAGAUUCAUCCAUUUCUUAGCUGGGUUUCCUUUCUCCUACCCAAGCUACAAACCUCCUGUCAUACUAGCUUCCAGAUCCAGCGACAUUUCCUUAUCACAAGCGGGUAGAUCGAGCUGCUGUAACUUGUUCUAGUCCAUGUGGAUGUGUAUGUGGAUAGGAAAGAAGGCGGCAGGCUCCAAUGCCCCCCGGACUGCAAACCAAAGCAACCAGAGUAUAGAACGCACGAGCUAUAAUAUAGCACCAUGACCACACAAAAAGAGGUGAUGGUUAGCUAGAUUGGUACCCUGCCGGUUUAUCGCGUUGCCGCUGUCGUGUUAAAGUUCAUUGGGGCUUCUCUAUCCUACUACCCCUAUUAUAUGGACAUUCUUUUAUAAAGGGUCCGUCUAUUGCUUUCGUGAAAAAUAUACCGCAUCCUUUCAAUCUGAGAAGGGGAUGAUUAAAGAAUGAGACGACACGAGAUGAUGAAGUAUGCAGUGUGACUUUGGGAGGCAGGUGCCUAGCGUAGGAGGCAGGCAUGAAAGCCAUGGAGCACUCGACGGUACGCUCUGCAUCCGAGACGCCGACAGUCCAGGCUCGCCGGUGGCCCGAUGUGCGUCAUCCGCACUUUCAGAAGUUGCAACGUAACACGGUUUUGAGGCAAUCGAAGCUCCACUGUCAGGGUUUUAGGUGUGGCCGGUUGACCGUGUUGCCGCUGUCGUGUUAAAGUUCAUGGCGCUUCUCUGUCCUACUACUACUCUUAUAUGGACAUUCUCUAUAAAGGGUCCGUCUGUUGCUCUCAUGAAAAAUAUACUGCAUCCGUUCUCUCCGAGAAGGGGGGAUUAAAGAAUGGGACGGCACGAGACGAUGAAGUAUGCGGCGUGACUUUGGGAGGUAGGUGCCUAGCGUAGGAGGCAUGCAUGAAAGCCAUGGAGCACCCGACGCUACGCUUUGCACCCGAGACGUCGACAGUCCGGGCACGCCGGUGACCCGACGUGCGUCAUCCGUACCUUCGGAAGGUUGCAAGUAACGCGGUUUUGAGGCAGUAGAAGCUCCACCGCUAGGGUUUUAAGUGCGGCCGGUUGACCGCGUUGCCAUUGUCGUAUUACAGUUCAUGGCGCUUCUCUGUCCUACUACUCCUAUUAUAUGAGCAUUCUGUAUAAAGGCCCCGUCUGUUGCUUUCGAGAAAAAUAUACUGUAUCCUUACUCUCCGAGAAGGGGAAGAUUAAAGAAUGGGACGACACGAGACGAUGAAGCAUGCAACGUGACUUUGGGAGGCAGGUGCCUAGCGUAGGAGGUAGGUGUGAAAGCCAUGGAGCACCCGACGCUACGCUUUCGAUCCGAGACGUCGACAGUCCAGGCUCGCCGGUGGCCCGACGUGCGUCAUCCGUGCCUUCGGAAGGUUGCAACGUAACACGGUUUUGAGGGAGUAGAAGCUCCACCGUUAGAGUUUUAAGUGCGGCCGGUUUAUAGCGUUGCCGAUGUCGUAUUACAGUUCAUGGCGCUUCUCUGUCCUACUACUCUUAUUAUAUGGACAUUCUCCAUAAAGGGCCCAUCUGUUACUUUCGAGAAAAACAUACUGCGUCCUUUCUCUCCGAGAAGGAGAGGGUUAAAGAAUGGGACGGCACGAGAUGAUGAAGUAUGCAGCGUGACUUUGGGAAGCAAGUGCCUAGCGUAGGAGGCAGGCGUGAAAGCCAUGAAGCACCCAACGCUACGCUUUGCAUCCGAGACGUCGACGGUCUCACUACUGGAAUCAGCUAAUUUGCCAUUUGCCAGCUCUUUGCCGUCUGCUAGCUGACGGCAAAGAAGCUCUUUGCCAUCAGCUACCAAAAAGCGGACGGCAAAGAAAUGGCAAACGACAAAGAAGCUCUUUGCCAUCUGCCAGCUCUUUGCCGUCCGCUGGCAGACGGCAAAGAGGGAGGUGGCCCCCACCCCCCGCCCGUUUGAAAAAAACUUAACGCCCCACCUCUUUGCCGUCCGCCAGCGGACGGCAAAGAGGCAAAAAGGCGGACGGCAAAGAGCCGAUUACCUAACCUUCUUUGCCGGAGCCUUUUGCCGUCCGCGGCUGACGGCAAAGGUCUUUGCCGUCCGCCGUUCGAGCCUUUGCCGUCCGCCGUGGCAGACGGCAAAAUAGCUGUUUCCUGUAGUGUCUGGGCUCGCCGGUGGCCCGAUGUGCGUCAUUCGUACCUUCCGAACGUGACGUGGUUUUGAGGCAGUGCAAGCUCCGCCGUCAGGGUCUCAGGGAGAUCAUACUCCUAGCAGAGCUCAGGGGAAAGUAUCAGGUGAUACCAGCCCUAGGAUGCUACCAUGAUACCAACUCUGAAAAUUCAAAUUUAAACAUGUCAAAAAAUUCUAAAAAAAUCAUGGAUGCUUAAAACACAUAUGUAGACAACCCCUAAACAAUUUAGAUUAAAAUUCGACAGACACACGAAGAAACAAAAAUGACAAAUUUAGAUGUGAAUAGUGUCAUUUUUGCUUUUGUCUUCUUUUGGCACUAUUCAUGAUGGAUUUGUCUUUUUUGUUUCUUCUUCUUCUGUGUUUUAAAUUUUGAUCUGAAUUUUUUAGGGGUUGUCUACAUAUGUGUUUUAAGCAUCCAUGAUUUUUUUCAGAAUUCUUUGACAUGUUUAAAUUUGAAUUUUCGGAGUUGGUAUCAUGGUAGCAUUCUAGGGCUGGUAUCACCUGAUACUUUCCCGUCAGCUCAGCUGUGAACGUCAGCAUGUCAGGUAGACGAAGCUGUGAAAUCGGUGAUGUUGAUCCAUUCCUAGGCCAGCUGCUUCUCACCUGCAAUAAAUAGUGAUGGGGUUGACACGUCGGGCAUCCCGUCCGGCCGGCCGCAGGUUGGAUGCCUAGGCUAGUACUCCCUCCGCUUCCAAAUUACUCGUCAUGGUUUUAGUUCAGACGAGUAAUUUGGAACGGAGGGAGUAAAUUAGUAUGGUCACGCCGGAGAACGAUGACCCCCGGCGUCGCAUCACCUCGGCGCUGUCCUUGCCCACGGCGCGGCGCGUCAGGUCACGUCGGUGUUUUGCGUUUCAUCGGACCUAGACGGCGAAAGCAAAUUUACCGUACCGGUAGGCCGGUGCCGCUUGGAUUUGCCCCGGCUGCAGCGGCGGUCGUCCUUGUGGAUCAGCCACGGAUUGAUUGCACCGAGGCUGAUGAGGUCCUCACGGGCGAACGCCGCACCCCAGGACUGGACCACGCCGCCGUCUAGAAUGUGCAUGCAUGCAUAUGCAUGUGUCUGCUCCCCGAGGCGAGGCCCAUUGUCGAAUCGCUCGGAGCGCCCCGGCCGCUUAUCAGGUUAGGUUAUCUUCAGCACAGGCUCGGGAGAGAGCUCUCAUGGCUUAUCUAUCGGUCAAGGGCGAAUGGAAACAUGUGCGAUUCGACGAUGCAAUCGACACGACAGAUUAUAUAUCCACCGGGCCAGGAAAGGAUUUAACCAUGCGUCACAUGACAUCAGCAAGCCACCGGAUACCAGUUCCAUGGGUUCAUGAGAUCGACGGGCUCCUAGCUUGUACACGCCGACGCUUUAGACAGGAGGGCGGAGCCGCGGAGGCGCCGACGGAGCCUCGGCCACGUGCCGGGCCAGCGGCGCGGCGAUUGCGGCACCCGGCACUGGCGUUGGCGCGAGAGCCGCGCGCGCGUGAAACAGACGACGAUUGUUCAUUUGUUCGCCGUGCCAAGCUGCCAAACGGCGACGUGGCAUAGACACCUGGAUCUUCGCCUUCUCCUGCCCCGGCACCUUUGCAUGCCUCGGUGUCGAUCAUCUCUGGCAUCACACUUUCUUCUCUUCAGCAGUGCAUGCGUUACAUAUGUUCCAGAUGACGCCAUGCCUAAAGCGUAGUACUCCAUCCGUUUCAAAAUAGAUGACCCAACUUUAUACUAACUUUAGCAAAGUUAGUAUAAAGUUGGGUCAUCUAUUUUGAAACGGAGAGAGUACUACGCUAGGAACCAGUGUACUCCACGGCUCCUCAUCCUGUGUUCCGGUUGCGCGAUAAGCCUGUCUCAGCUACUACAGUGUAGUACUAGAGUCUGUACAGAGAGUACUGGGGUUUUCGCCAAACCUUCUUGUCCACCGAAUAGUUAAACUAGUUUAUUAGACACCGGGAAACCGAUUAAAUACUAACCACGUGANNNNNNNNNNNNNNNNNNNNNNNNNNNNNNNNNNNNNNNNNNNNNNNNNNNNNNNNNNNNNNNNNNNNNNNNNNNNNNNNNNNNNNNNNNNNNNNNNNNNNNNNNNNNNNNNNNNNNNNNNNNNNNNNNNNNNNNNNNNNNNNNNNNNNNNNNNNNNNNNNNNNNNNNNNNNNNNNNNNNNNNNNNNNNNNNNNNNNNNNNNNNNNNNNNNNNNNNNNNNNNNNNNNNNNNNNNNNNNNNNNNNNNNNNNNNNNNNNNNNNNNNNNNNNNNNNNNNNNNNNNNNNNNNNNNNNNNNNNNNNNNNNNNNNNNNNNNNNNNNNNNNNNNNNNNNNNNNNNNNNNNNNNNNNNNNCAACGGAGCACAGGCACCAAUAUCUUCUUAGUUAUAAACAACGAUCAUCACACCUGGAACCGGUUACUUCAGAAGCUACAUAAAACCAAACCGCAUGAAUAAUAACACGGGCAAUUGUCAAAUCGAUGGCAGAUUGCAAUCCUGCCUUUGUACUCCUAAUCUGUGCCCCCAAUGAUUUGUACGCCCACCCGAACUGUUCCUUUGGAUGUUACGGCGACACAUCGCAAUACAAAAUUAAAGAGGUCCUUGCUUCUCGAAAAGUACAUGCAUACAUACAUGCAUAUUGGACCGAGCAAUGCUAGACUUAUGUAUGAUUUACUACUGUUUUUACGUAAAGUCAACAUGGAGGAUUGUGAUUGGAAUCAGGGCAGGAACGGGCCCACCCCACUGAAAUUUGAAUUAGUUGAAAAGUUACGUUAAAUGUACAUAAUUUUUUGGGUGUGGUUAGGUCUUAGUCGAGUCAAGUGACAUAACAUGCAAGAGAGAAAAUGAAAAAACUGAAAAUUAAUUUUGCAUGGAUCUUAAUGUAAGAUCUCACGGAUAUAGCAUCAAAUGGGACUUAAUGAAGUCUCAGUCGACAUAGACAUAGCAAGAUUGUAAAUUUACGUAGGUGUAGGAUUUUCUUAUUGGACCCACAAACACAUCAGGGCAUCUUCAACGCAGAUCCUUCCGGCCCCAAAUGUCCAUGCGGUAUCUUUUCUUUUAUCUUGGCCAAGUGACAAACCUCCAUGCAGUUGCAUAGAUGACCAAAUAGCAUACCUGUACUGAUCGAUCGUCUGUAACUCGAUUGCAGCGAGAUGGAAGGGAAGGGCCAUGGCGGUCCCUGUCCCCCGGACUGCAAACCAAAGCAACCAUGAGAGCUACCGUUGCUUUCGAGAAACGCAUCGUCGGGAACUCGGGAUGGCUCCCCGCAUCCAUGGCAGCAGGCCGUCGGGGGUGAAGCAUGCAACGUGACUUUGGGAGACAGGCGCCUAGCGUAGGAGGCAGGCGUGCUGAAAGCCAUGGAGCACCCGACGCUACGCCUGCAUCCAAGACAGUGACACACUGACACUGCAGUGCAGGCUCGCCGCUCAGCGAUGGUCUGACGUACGUAACCCGUACCACAGGAAGGUUCCAACCCAGCGCAAGCAUGAAGUGACAGAAAAAGAGAGAAAAAUAGCACAUGGUGGUACAAGUGCAGAAGCUCUACGGCUCCACCGUCGAGGAGAUCAAGCGGUACCUACUCCCUCCGUUUCAAAAUAGAUGAUCCAACUUUACGUUACGUCCGUGUAAUCAGCAAACUCAGGAUGCUCCUACAGAAAAGCCUUGCGAUAUAGCUGUGCGUCAACGUCAGCGUGUCAGAUGGUAGAUGAAGCUGCGGAAUGUGUGAUGAUGAUGAUGAUCCAUUCAUAGGCCAGCGUCUCACUGCAAUAAAUAUGGGUCCAGAUGCGGGCCAUUAUUCUUUGGCUCUCGGCUAGGGUAAACUGAUUCCCGUUUUACCGACGAGUCCGUGGACCUACCUCCCUUUUGUCUGCCGUUUCGAUGGUCGGUGAUGGGGAAGGGAUCCGAUGCCUUGGCUUCUGUUAGAGGUUAAUAUUAUUUUCUCGCAGGGAUGACACUUCAUCUUCGAAUUGAUCAUCCCGCCUUCGAUGCACCUUGAUCGCCUUGUCGAGACGGGGUUGGUACAGCUUCGACGUAGACUACCGCCGUCUCCUUCGAACGACAAGUACAAUAUUUCUCAUUGUUCAUGUGCGGCGACAAGAUUUGGUGUCUGACGCAACAAACUAAUUAAGGGUUCAGUGGCAACAAGUACGACUCCACGACAUUGUUCCUUAGGGCCACGUGCAUAAAAACUUUCCAGCUAUCAUCAUCAAUGACAGGUCUGCUUCAAUUGGGGAGCGGAGCGGCAUGUUAAGGGCAUCUCCAAUGCCAAUACUCAAACCGCCCGCAUACCCCCCUCCCCCGGCCCACCCAAAAGGAAGGCGAAGCCCGCACUUUUAUAGCAACCUGCACUGUUUCUGUGCCAAAUCCCCCACUCUCUUCUUCCAUACCCCGACGCUCUCCACCCAAUUCCUGCCCUUUUCUCCGACCCUUUCCUUCCUUCCAUCGCCGAUGCAUGAAACCGGAGGAGAACGUGCCUGAGAUGGAGGUGAUGGAGGUGCCGGAGGAUCCGAGCAUCACGCUCGCCCGGAUGAUCAGCUCGGCUACGAGGCAAACUCGUUGUGUCAAAGCGAAGGCCGCAAAGGAGAAGAAGCACAAGAAACGGAUGGCCGCCGGUGGGCUUGGUGGGGGUGUUUGGCGAGGUAGUCGUGGUGGACGUCACGGCGGAGGCCGCGAUGCCCAGACGGACGCGCCCACGGUACAGACGGCUCCGUAGCCGGAGCAUUCCAAGCCUUCAAACGGGCGUGCCCACAAUAUGUGCUUUUGGAUUUGGGCAUAUAAAAACUAAGCAUACUUGUCUCAUUUUGGUUAUGACCUGGCAAGCGAUCCGGUGCUGUGUGAUCCGGCGCGCUGUAUGGAUUAGACUACUAAAUUUGAAUUUUAAAUUGCCCUUUACUGAUGCAGAUAUACAGGAUAGCAUUGGAGGCCGACACUCGCAUUCGUGUCCGGAGACUGGGACCCCAUAUCCGUGGCCAGAUGCAGGAGAAAAUUUGCGGUUCGGUGUUGAAGAUGCCCUAAAGAAUAAAGACUCCCGAGUGGAUGUAGCAACCGUUUGUAUGGUCCAAAGAUCUUGUUGUCAUUUCUACUAUAUUUAAGAUACUUUUGAAAAGUAAACAAAGACAUGGAUUCGAUCGAUCACAUUCACAUAAAUACUCCAUCCGUCUCAAAUUACUUGGCGUGAAAAUGGAUGUAAUUGACAAGUAAUUCGGGAUGCAGGGAGUACUCCCUCCGUUCCACAAUGUAGUAAAUGUAGGUUUUUAAAAAAAUCAAACUUUAUAAACUUUAACCAAGUUUGUAGAGAAAACAUAUACAUUUAGAAUACGAAACACAUAUCCUUAGAUGCAUAAAGAGACGUACUUUCAUAUUUGUAUAUAUUUAAUAUUAUAGAUAUAAAUACUUUUCUUUAUAAAUUUGGUCAAAAUCUGUAAUGUUUGAUCUUUUAGAAAUCUAUAUGCACUAAAUUAUGACAUGGAGUAAGAUUUUGCUGGGCACAACACAUCCGGGUCCUAGCAUUCCACAUGGUUCCCUUUGCUCCAUGUCUUGACACGUCCCCGCAUGAUGUGAUCCUGCCGCUGCCCGCAGGUUGGAUGUGUCGGCCGUAUAGGUGGUGUUGUCGCCGUCACGAGGUGGCCGCCGCCGGAAAAGGGUGACCCCGCCGCGUCACCACCUCGACGCUGUCCUUGCGCGUACGCGCUCGCCGUUCCGGCCCCCGGCCACGCGUCACGUCGCGUCUCAGUGUUAGUACCUUUCAUCGGCGCACGACGACGUCGACGGCUUAGCUAAAAUUACCGUCCCGAAAUGGCCGUUUGUUCUGCGGUGAAAGAAGACAGAGCAUUGCUGGUACCAACUUAUCCAGUGAAACCAAACUGCUCGCUGCUUCUGACAAAGAACCUGCAGAUUCCAUGGAUUCUGGAGGGUGCCAAGACGCUGGACAGAUCGCUUCGUUGCAGGGGUAUUUCCAGAUCCCAAUCAACACUGCAGAACACGCAUCGAGUGUCGUGUCCAGCGAUGGACAGCAAUAUACAAUGAGCCGCACAGAAACCCGGCCCUCAGGUGGCCGGUCAAGCAAGACUCGCGUAGCCCAUGGCUUCCCACGUUCUGAUCUGCAGCGGCGGCGGUCGUCCGGUGAGAUCAGGUCACGGGCGCCCGUCUGCAGACCAGACCAGGCCUGGACCGGACCACCGUCUAGAACAAACGACACGCACGCUUCCAUGCGCUUGACUGCUCCUCUGUCUCUUCUUCUCCACUAGCCACCCCUCAAGGCGAGGCACAUUGUCAAAUUCUUCUGAACACCCUGACCUGACCGCCGCCUCAGCGACAACGGAGACUUGAGAGCGUUUUUGACGCUAUCAGACAACUUCGUCAAGAGCAGCAAGAGAAAUGCACGAAAACACCGGCGCAAACAGGAAUUACUACGAAAAGACAGUACGCAAUUUGAUGUUGCAUUGCAGUCCAGGUUCGGUUCUCCACUGGGGCAGGAGAGGAAACCACCAUGUUCCAUGUGUCACAUGGCAUCCUCAGUCACCGGCCACUACUGGGGCAUCACCACCCACAACAACAACUUCCGGCUACCCAGUUCGAUCUGUAUACACGGACGGGCGGUUUAAACAUGGCGGACAUGUGCCAAAUAUAUGUGGCACAUCACUAGCAGCUAGUAUAAUAGAGUAAGCUAAUGGCCGCCCGGCUAU